UAGCAAAACAAUGAUGAUUUAAAAUUAUUGCCUUGUUAUUCUAAAACUUGCUGUCACCCACCGACUAUGUUGAGUGAAAUUUAGUUUCACUUUGAUAAUGGAAGCAAGGUUGUACUUUGUGAACAUUCUUAACUAAGAUUGAACAUUCCUAACUUGUCCUUUUUAAAGAUCUUUAUUAGCAGCAAGAUUAUUUUGAAUUCUCUAUUAGCUUUAAAAAACAGGGCACUGUAGCUUGCUUAUCUAAUGGAUCUUACUCCUAUGAAUGAGCUUGUGAAAUGAUCAAAAUAUUGGUAUUUUUGUUGCUGUGUGGUAUUUUUAUAUAUCCUGCAUCGGGGAUAUAACAGAAGUAACUGAACACUCUUGCAAUUGUGAAAGUGGUCAUUACUGUAUUUUGCAACUACAUCUUUGUGUUGAAACCAUCCCUCAUUACAUUCUUUUCUGCACCUGAAACCAAGCAAGGUUAAGCCCAGUUACAUGACCGGUUUUCAUUCCACAGGUCACCCCAUCCCACAAGCAGCAAUCUGUACCCUCUUUCCACGACUCUGUCUUGGAAUGCUGGCAAUUCCAUGAAGCAGAGCUAUUAAUGGAAAAGGAUUCUUUGAAUUGGAGCAAAGAAAGACUUUGGUCAUGAGCACAAAAAUGAGAUGAAGAAAUUGUUGAAAGGAAAUGGAAGAGAAACAGAAUGAAAGAGAGGGACGGUGGUGAAAACCCCAUGUUUGGCCUUACAGGAUUUAGUAGUAUAUUUGGGAGAGAUAAGGAAUAAAGAAAGGCAUUGUUUGUAUAUUUAGUAGUAUAUUUAUAGACAAAGCAGUCUUAGAUUGUAUACUGACGAAAUCGAAGUCACUGACAAACAAUGGAGUUUGAAGUUUCUUGCACUCAAGAUGCUGUGGGAUCGGUCCUCCAAGUCUUCGGAACUGAAGGUUCACUUACAAAUAUUUCCACACAAGAGUGAGCGUCGGAAACACGGCAAUGCUAAUUUCCAAAAUUGACAUUUGCAGCUACUCUUUGUGCUAACAGAUACAGUUCAUCCUUUGUAGCUCGUCUGAUGGCAGUUGUUCUCGGGGACAUCUACCCCGCUAUUAUUCCUUGCUGGCUUAUAAAUUUAAUACUAAUUGGAUAGAUUAUUCCUUCGCAUGUACUGAUAGAUUAUUCUUGCUAUUAUUAACAAGAAUACGUGACUGUUUACUUGAAGGGUUAAGCAAUUUAUAUGUUUCCCAGAAGAAGACGAAGCGUUUCAUAGCUUAGAAAAUAGCAAUGAACAUGUGCUAAUAGAUACAGUUUGUGCUCUUCCUUUGCAGCUCGUCUGAUGGGAAGUGUACGUUUCUGGGGACUUCUACCACUCGUCCUCGUCUUCUAUGAAACUCCAUGCCAACAAAAGGCAAUAAUGCAACCCUUGGUACAGAUUUUUGCUGGAUAUUUCCACGCAAGGAGAGCUCCCUUAACUAGUUGAUGACUAAAAAAGAGUAUUGGACAGAGGGAAACAGGAUCGUUCUCAGGUAUCAUUAGGAAUUGUUUCAAGGAGGAAAAAGUAUAAGGUUAGGUUUCUUAAUGCCAGAGGCAGUUUGACAGAGAUGGAUAAGAGGUUCGUGAAACUCUAUGGACUCUACUCUUGCCAAUGUCAAUGGAAGGUUGGAAAAUUUGGCAACUUGUACUGAACCCACAAUAGUCUAUAGCUCUGCACGAGAGGUGGCAGCUACACAUCACCUUGGCAAGGUUUUAGGGAUUCAUAGAGAUACAAAUGAUGGUUUGGUUGCUGAACAUAUUCGGAGGCAGAUUGAUACGAAAUAGAAGGAAUGGUUGGACUCCCUCCUAAGUUUUGCUCUGUUGCCCAGUUUAUGAGUUUUGUUCUAAUCUUAAGCAGAUGCUACCAUAGAAUUAUAGAGAUUUAGGCAGUCUUUGUAGAAGGGGGGCUGCGCAAAAGUAUGUUAGUUCCAAUGAUAUUGAAGCUUUUUGUUUCUUGGAAACUAAAAUUUCUAAUUAUACGAACACCUUAGUCAAAAGUAUUUGUAGUUGGUCCAAAUUGCUUUAGAGCAUUGUUUGUACCUGUUGAGAUGGUUUUAUCACACUUUUUAAUAGUUAUUCAUCUCUUACAAGUUACCAGAAUUACUAUAUUUUACUUGCAAAUAUUGCUACUGUUGUGAUAACAGAAUCUGUCAGUCAAGUGUUCUUUUAAAUUUACAAGAGUUGUUUCAAUCUGUUUAUAACUUUAUAACUUUCAAAAUACUCCUAGAAACAGAGAUUGAUUUAAGUGAUCACGAAUAAGGAAAUGGAGACAUAAAAAAAGGACCCAAAACAUAAAUGAUUUUAUAGUUAACACAAACUUGUUACAUGCAUGAAUUCUUUUUCAUAGAAGUAAUGUACAUUUAACCUUGAAUUAUGUAAACUACAAAUUUUUUUUUUUUUUUUAAAUCCAAUACUAUGAAUUUGCCACCCAAUUGUUGAUCCACUUGAUAUCUUGAUUGUACUGCAAAUUUAGAAAGGCAAGACUGAUCAAAUGAAAUAGUAAAGAAAACAUAGCCUAACAUAAACUGUGAACAUAAAAUUUGAAAACUCAAAUGCUUGCAAAACUUACUUAAAAAUAUCAAUUGCAUUAUUUAGUUUCUUCUAGCACAAUAUCUGCCAGCAUUUUUCUUUGUUUUUUUGCUCUAGAGAUUCCAUUUAUCUUCAACCAUCCUAAGAAACCAUGAAGGCUUUUUUGUUCUUAACACAACAUAUCCCGUUGCAACUCCAAACAUAAACCCGCAUCCAUACCCCAUUGUCACAGCUUUCCAUCCAAAUCCUUCUCCAAACAAUGUUGAAUCAUCUCCUUCAUCAAAGCUUGAUGGCGGUAAUGAUGGUGCCUCAUCACCGUAACAUUUUUUUAGCACUUGAAAUCCACAUAAACCCAAGUUUCCUUCAAAUGAGCUUGCAUCAAAGGUGUUGAAUUGCUCUCCACUUGGUAUGAGCCCCUCGAGUUGGUUAUGUGAAAGGUUUAGAAUUGCAAGAAAUGUUAGACCCUCCAGCUGCGUUGGAAUCCUUUCGGUAAGCAAAUUUGAAGAUAGAUCUAAUGAUUCCAAAUUGAUCAAAUUUCCUAGUGAUGAUUGGAUAUGACCUGUAAGGGAAUUAUGAGAAAGGUUGAGCUGUUGGAGUGCUUUAAGCUUUCCCAUCACUUUUGGAAUCUUUCCGGUGAAAUUGUUAUUUGACAAAUCAAGUACUCUGAUAGUACUUUGGAUCUUCGUAAACUCAAUUUCUACACCUUUCCAUGUCAUUUCUAUGGAAUAGACAUAGCUAGUGUAAUUUGUUGCCCCCAUGUAAAUCAUGUUUUGAUCCGAGACCAUCAUUGCUUCAAGACUAUUGAAAUACCCAGUUGGCAAUGGCCCAUUAAAAUUGUUGUCGGAGAUGUCAAAAAUCCAUAAUUUAGAGAAGGAAUUAUAUGCAGUCGGACCCUUCACAAAACCUUGAAGUGUAUUGGAUUUUAGAACAAGAAUUUGGAGCUUUGGAAGCGUUUCUAGAAAGUAGGGAAAUGUAUCUUCAAUCUUAUUGUUGCCAAGAUCAAGAACUUGCAACAUUGUGCAGUUGAUGAUAGACGGUGGUAUUUUCCCUUCUAAUUCAUUUCCAUUGAGGUUGAGAUAUUCCAAGCUAUUAUCCUUUGAAAAUGUUAAAGGGAUAGUGCCUCGAAGAUUGUUCAUGUCUAGAUGCAAGACUGAAAGCAUAUUGUUGAAGUUCCCCAAACAUAGUGGCAUAGAACCCCUCAAGCUAUUGUUGGACAAGUCAAGAACCCGAAGGAAUCUUAGCUUGCAAAUAGAAGAAGAAAUCUCACCUGUCAAUUUACUAUUGGAUGCAAGAAUAAGGAAUUCCAAGUUCUCUUGUUUUAAAAUCGAACUUGGGAUUGGACCAUGCAAGUGGUUAUUGCUCAAAUCAAGGUAAGUUAAUGAAUUGUGUUGGAGUUCACUUAUAUUGCCUAUGAGAUUAUUGUUAUGAAGGUCAAGAUAUUGUAAAGAAUGAAAAGCAAAUAAAAAGGAUGGUAUUGUUCCAUUGAACAAGUUAUUGGAUAAAUCUAGACUCUCUAGAUUUGAAAGGGUAUUUAAUUGAGAAUGGAUAGUGCCUACUAGUUGAUUAUUUGAUAAAUAUAAAUUUGAAAGAUUAACUAGACUACCUAAAAAAUCUGGAACUUGACCCAUAAAUUUAUUAGAAUCAAGAUAUAAGAAACGAAGGUGUACAAGGUUUCCAAAUGAGAAUGGGAUGUGACCACUCAAAUUGUUACUUGAAAAGUCUAAAUAAGUGAGGUUUAUGAGAUUACGGAGUAUAGCUAUAUCUGACCUUAUAAUGUUACAAUUAUGAAGAGACAUAUAUUCUAAUGACUUUAUAUUACUGAAUAAGUCGUUUUCUAAAUAAACUGAAAUUCUUGUAAUAGAAAGAUCCAAUCGAGAGAGGACAUUACUCAAAUUGGACGAAGGAAAAGAGCCAGUGAGGACCUUGUUGUAUGACAGAUCCAGUGAUUCAAGGUUUGGGAGGAGAAAGAUGUUCCCCGGGAAUUUCCCUUGCAAUCCACAAUCCUAAAGGGAAAGAGAUGACAAAGAAGAGGACAGAUUCGUCAAGGAAUUAGGUGCAACCAAAGACAAAUUUAAAUAACCCAAAGUGAGAUCUCUUAGCUUGGUUAGGUUUUGAACAAGCUUGUCAAAAGAAAUUGGUUCUAUACUGAGAUGGAUGUUUUCAGAGAGAUCCAAGCAUUGGAGGUGCUUAAAACUUCCCAUUGAGGAUGGGAGUUUUCCUUGCAAUCGACAGCCAGAGAGUUUGAGUGAUGACAGAGAAGAGGAAAGAUUCAUCAAGGAACUGGGUACAACCAGUGACAUGUUUACCCAGUUUAGAUGGAGUUCUCUAAGCUUGGUUAGGUUUUGAACAAGCUUGUCAAAACAAAUUGGUUCUAGACUUAGAUUGUAUUGUCUAGAGAGAUCAAGUGAAACCAAUUUGGAGAGAUGAGAGAUUUCCGAUGGAACUUGACCUGUAAAGACUGAGUAAUUUAGGUUAAGAUGUGUUAGACUAGAGAACUGGCCAAAUUGAGAAGAAAUAUGGGAGAGGUUGAAAUGAUUGUCAGAGAGGUCGAGCUUUUGAAGAUGAUGCAGGGAGAAGAGGGUGCUAUUGGAAUGGAUGGUGCCGUAAAGCAUGCUGCAAGAGAGGUCCAGUCCAGUGACACGCCCGGUUUUCAGGUCACAAGUGAUCCCAUCCCACAAACAGCAGUCUGUACCCUCUUUCCACGACUCUGUCUUGGGAUGCUGGCAAAGCACUGAAGCAGAGCUAUUAAUGGAAAAGGAUUCUUUGAAUUGGAGCAAAGAAAGACUUUGGUCAGGAGCACAGAAAUGAGAUGAAGAAAUAGUUGAAUGGAAAUGGAAGAGAAACAGAGUGAAAGAGAGGGACAGUGGUGAAAACCCCAUGUUUGGCUGGCCUUACAGGAUUUAGUAGUAUAUUUGGGAGAGAUGAGGAAUGAAGGAAGGCAUUGUUAGCAGUAUUUAUAGACAAGAAUGAAGGAGAGGCAAUAAAGAAGUUUCCUUAGCUGGGUGCUGACGGACCAUAUCUCAAGUACAUAGACAAGAAUGAAGCAGAGGCAUUAAAGAAUGAGCGAGUGAGUGUUGGAAACGCGGCAAUAUUAAUUAAUUAAUGGAACACCUUAAUUAGUUAGAGAAUCAAAUUCUCACAUAAAGCGUUCAUUAAGCCUUUGAAUCGGAGCAAAGAAAGACAAAUUAAUUUGUUCAUGAGGACAUAAUUGCUAGUAUUAAAAACGCAACAGGAUGACAUUAUAUAUAACAAGGAAAUAAAAUAAAAUAAAAUAAAUAUUAAAUUUAUUUUUCUAUUAAUUUAAUGUUAAAGAAUAAAAUUAAAAAUAAAAUUCAACUAAAAAUAUAAAACAACUCAACAUAAAUUUAUCUUUCAAACCUAGAGGAGACUAAAUAAAAAAUAUUAAAAUAAAUUAUAAAAUUUAUUUUUUAUUAAAACAAAAUAAAAUCCCACUAAAUUGUUGUUUAUGGAAACCAAGGCAAAGUAAUAAUUAUGCCAAGCACUAAUGACUUUGCAUUUAUAUAUCGUUUUUUAACGAUCCAAAAAAGAUUAUUGAAUAUUGGAAACACGACAAUAUUAAUUAAUUCCCAAAAUCAACUUUUUGAGAGUAGAUAACACGUUACAUAUUUAAAUUUUAGAAAAAAAAGACACACAUUUCCUCUGCUUCAAAAUAAAUAAAAUAAAAAAUACAAACGAAUUAUUGAAUAAACGCAUUGCCGCGAGUCAAAAGAUUUUUUUUUUUUUAAAAUUUAUAAGUUUUUCUUUUAAAAACAAAGAAUGGUUGAGUUGAGUUGGCGUUGUGGAGGUAAUGAAGAACCCUAAUUCUCCAAUUAUAUGGUUACAUGUAAUGUAAAUAGUUUACCUUGAUAUGACAUACAUGGAUUAUUUAUUUGCCACUUAAAGCUGAAGGCUUUUGCAUUUAAAAUUAGGUUAAUGUAUAUGGUGAGUAAGCUAUUAAUUUAUUGUGGUUUCCAACUUCAAAAUUCGAGAAUCAAUUAUAUUAUGGGUUAGUGAUAAAAUUUUAAAGAAGGAGCAUUCUUGAUUUCUUUCAUGUUAAAAGCAUUAAUUACAUGUCCUGUUUUAAAAAAUAAAUCAUGAUUAAUUUGCUAUAGCACACUUGUUUUAACAAAAAAAAAAAAAAAGAUUACGUAACCAAUAAAUUCAUUCAGCGAAUUUUUCCACAAGUUAAUUAAUUAAUUAAUCCUUUUAGUAUUAAUUAACUAAAUAGUUAAUUAAUACUUUUAGUGAGUGAGAGGGGUUGCUAAUAUUUCUUAAACUAAUUAAUCCUCUUAGUAUUAAAAAUAACUAAAUAGUUAUUUGACAAAUCUUGAUUAGUAAUUUUUUUUUUAUUUUAAAAAAGAUACUUUUCUUGCUUAUCAUUCUUUCAAUUGAUAUACUUUGAAUUUUUUUUUAAAUAAAAUAUAAUUUAAACUAUAUAUGGGAUUAUGUAUACAUAAUUGAAAUAAAAAAAUUGAUAAACAAAGUCAUCUUCACCUUCUUAUUUCCAAUCCAUUUCACAGUUGUACAGCGAGAUUAAGUAACCAAUAAUUUCAUUCAGCGAAUAUUGCCACUGAAUAUUUCACUAACACAAGUGCUAAUAAAUAAGGUAGAUAAUCAUGAAUGCCGAACUUUACAUGAAAUAUUUAUAGCAUGAUAAAAAAAAAUAAAAAUCGUGGCUGCUUAAUUUGAAUGUUCAGAGACGUUUUUCCAAAUUGUAUUUAUCAAUGAAAUUUAUUCGAAGAUUGCUUGGCCCACUAAAAUAUAAUUUCCAUGAAAUUCAAGCCUCAAUAUAUAGGAAGAAACUUGUUAAUAAUUUACGAUCGUAGUUUACUCACAGCUUAAGCAAGUGGGCAUGCAGAGUUAAAGAGUCAUCCUCACCUUCUUAUGUCCACUUCAAUCCAGUCUCAGAAAGCAAUAUGCAAUGGUCCAGAAAAGUCUUUGGAUAUAUAGAUAUUGUCCAAUCUUCACGUGGUGCUCAAUAUGAAACUGAGGGUUGAAUUAUUCAAUUGCGAAUACUUCCUUAAUAUUUUUAAUAUUUUUGUUAAGAUCAAGUCUAUGUGAGUGAUGUGCAGCAAGUAUAUCUGUUAAUUAGAAUUUUCUUUGUAGCUUGCCUAGUGUUAAUUGUGCGUUAUUUACAUUAACACAUUAAAAUAAUUUAAAAAUAUAUUCAAAAUAUAAUAAUAUUAAUUUCUUAUAAAAAUUAUAUUUUUUAAAAUAAAAAUAAUAUAAAAAUAUUAUUUUGAUAUAUUUUCAAAUGAAAAAAAUACUUUGAAAAAUAAUCUCUACCACACUAGCAUGCUCUAAAAAUAAAAACACAAUAAUAUUAAUUGCCUAAAUGGAUUAAAUAGUGUUUUAGGGGUUCUUAAUUUUUCUUAAAUUAACUAAUCCUUUUAGUAUUAAAAGUAAUUAAAUAGUUAUUUGACCAAUUUUGAUCAUGCUCUAAAAAUAAAAACACGAUUUUGCACUUAUGGAUCAUACUUUUUGUGUGCGCUCGGUAAUGUAUAGAAGUUUAAUUAUUUUUUAAUUGUUUUAUUUAAAAAUAUAUCAAUAUGAUUUUAUUUAAAAAUUUAUUUUUAAUUUUGAAAAUCAGAAUAUUAAAAUCAUAAAAAAAACAUUAAAAAAUUAAUAUUGAUUUCCUAAAUGGAUUAAAUAGUGUUUUAGAGGUUGCUAAUAUUUUUUAAAUUAAUUAAUCUUUUUAGUAUUAAAAAUAACUAAAUAGUUAUUUGAAAAAUAUUGAUUAGUAGUAUUUUUUUUUUAAAUACUUUUCUUGCUUAUCAUUCCUUCAAUUGAUAUACUUUGAGUUUUCCUUUUUUCUAUUUUAAAUAAAAAAAUAAUUAAACUAUGGGAUUAUGUAUACGUAAUUGAAAUAAAAAAUUGAUAAGCAAAGUCAUCUUCACCUUUAUAUGUCCAAUCCAAUCCAAGCAAUGGAGCACUAAUGACUGUGCACAGAUAUAAUUUCUCAUGACCCGAAAGUCUUUCAGUGCGAUUCAUAAUGUUGUGCGAUAUAUUUUUUAAAUGUAUAUUUUAAUUGAAAAUAUAUUUAAUUUGUUUUAAUUUUAAUAUAAAUACAUCAAAAUCAUAACAAAAAUUAUAAAAUAUUUAAUUUAAUGCUUUUUUAAGCAAUAUGUUUUUAUAUAUAUAAAAAAAACAAAAGCUACCACAAUGUUUUAUUAAUGAGAAUAAGAAUAGAACCAUGACAAUAUUGAUUUUCUUAAAAUUAAUUAAUCCUUUUACUAUUAAAAAUCUUAUGGGGGAUAGAAAGUUGGGGGAAGAAAAAGGAUAAUUAUUUUCAGCUGAAAUCAGGUGUGCCCUUCUGUCCUUUUUCUUUGCUCUUUCGCUUCCUUUUAGGCUCCCGGCCUGUCAUGAAGUUGGUGUGGGAAUAAUUCCCUUUGCAUGGGACAGGCUGACUCAUCAGUCCUGAUGCAUGUAUAUAUAUAUAUAUAUAGGCCUCCUUUCUCUUGGGAAUAAUGAAUGAAGCUUGAGAAAGUUUUAAACCAAAACCUUUUUAUUACUAUGGAGAAUUUUGCCUAGGAUUGUUUUUCAUGCGAUUGUUCAUUCUAAAAUGCAAAACUAAGAGUCUGUCGCUGAAGUUUCCUAAAUAUGCAAUGGUGGUGUAGAACCGCUCAAACUAUUACUUUACAAGUUAGACUUGGAGGAAUUUCAGAGCAGCGUACCGGAAAUUAAAACAAUAUUUUGUGAAAUUUUAGGAAAACAGAGCAUCAACAAGGGAAAACCAAUCUUCAUCUGGUCUGUCCUACUAAAACUGACAAAGAUUGGAGGAGUUUCAAGGUUCUUGCCCUCGAGAUUACCAAGUAAGUGUGGGAUUGGAAAGAUCUUUCUUUUCCAGCAUCAACAAGGGAAAACCAAUCUUCGGAACCAGUGAGUGGUUCUGAAUAUGGAACUGCAGGUUGAAUUAUUGAUCAAUUGCAAAUAUUUCCAUACAAUCAGAUCCCUUUGUUGACUAUACAAGAGUGUUGGAAACACGGCAAAAUUAAUUUCCAGAAUUGUCAUUUUUCCAGCAAGUCUACGUACGCGCAAUUUGUGCUCUAAUUAUAACUCCUUUUGUGUCUCGUCUGAUGACAACUGUUCUUGGAGACUUCUACCCCUCUAUGCCUAGUUUUUCUUGGUUUCAUUGCAUCUUUGAAGUUUGGUUUUCCUUACAAUUUAUUUUAUCUUUCAUUAGAUAUCUCUAUACUGUAAGAAAUAUUUUUAAGUGGAUCAUAUGCCAUGUCAAGUUUUUAGAAUAAUAUAUAUAUAUUAUAAAAUUUAUAAAUGAUAAUUAAAUGGUUGGAGUUCAUUGCUCUCUAAUGAUGAACUAAGUUCAAUACAUAAUGGAUGAAAGGGAAAAAAAUCAUAUUAAAUAUUAAAUAUUACGUAAUGUCAUGUAACCUCCAUCAAAAUAUAGAAAACCUAAAGUUUGGUAUUGACGGUUCAAUCAUGACAUGGGCUAAAUCCACUCACUUGACAAGUGUUGAUCAUAAUACAAAUAAUAAUUAAUUAAGUCAUAAAUAUAAUUCAAAUUAUAGAGAUUAAAUGUAUAGUUUGCAAAACUACGGACUAGGUCGAACCAUGACUGAACCAUAAUGCUAUACGGAUUAAUUGAGUGAGAAUAAUACCUCUUUCAGGAUUUAAAAAUUAAAACAAAAAAAGCAAAAUCAUGCCGCCUAAGUAGUUGUUGCUAGACUAAAGGACACCAAGGCAAAUUAAUAAUUACGCCAAGCACUAAUGACUUUGCACGACUGAAAAAAGAGUACUGAGUGUUGGAAAUUAGCAUUGCUGUUAAUUAUAAUAUGAAUUAUAUAAAAACUAUAAUUUACGUUGUUAUCUAUUUUUUUGGGUCCUUAAAAAAAAACAAUGCAUAAAAUAAAAAAAAUUGUUGAAAAAAAUUAAAAUAAUAAAUCAGUAAGGAAAAAAUACGAAUGUUCAAAAAAUAGCAAUCACUAUUUACAGAAGGUAAGGUUCCUAUCAACUUUCCUUGUUGACUCAAAAUGGUGCAAAAUUAUGCCCCCGCUAGCACUAAUGACUUUGCACUUAUAUAUUGUUUUUCACGACCCAAAAAAGAGUACUGGGUGUUGGAAAUAUCGCAAUAUUAAUUAAUUUUUGAAAUUAUUUAAAUAAAGAAGAGAGAAAAAGACAAUUCAUAAAACUUAAAAAAAAUAUUUAAAAAAUCAAAAAUAUAUUAAUUUAAAAUAAAAAAAUUAAUUUUUUUAAAAAUACAAACAAGCUUUGAUUAAAUGAAAGGUAAAGUAAUAAUGACUUUGCACUUGUAUAUCAUUUUUCACGACCAAAAAAAGAGUAUUGAGCGUUGGAAACACGAUAAUAUUAAUUAAUUUCUGAAAUUAAUAAAGUUCAUGUGAGUGAUGUGCAGCAAGUCAAUGUGCUCAUUCGAAUUAACCUCCUUUGUAGCUUGUUUUGUGGUAACAAUAUUUUUUAUAGUAUCACAUUAAAAUAAUGAAAAACAAGUUAGAAACAUGACAAUAUUUAUUUUUUAUUAAAAAUAAAUUUUAAAAAAUAAAAAAAUCUUUUUUAAUUAUCCAAAAGUUAUCAACCUUCAUUGUGUGCUUGGUUGGUAAUGUGUAUCAACCCAAAAAGUCUUUCUCAGCAUCAACAAGGAAAACCAAUCUUCAUUUUCUCAGAAAGUAUGGAACUGAGGGUUGAGUUAUUCAUUUGCAGAUAUCUCCACGAAGGAGAGCUCCCUUAGUUGAUUACUAAACAAGAGUAUAAUAUGUAAAAACUUGAUAUCAAUAUAUUAAAAUGAUGUAAAAACAUGAUAAGAACACGACAAUAUUGAUUUCUUGUAAAAAAUAAAUUUUAUAAAAUAAAAAAAUAUAAAAUAUUAUUUUAAUUUAUUUUCAAACAAAAAAUACUUUGAAAAAUAAUCUCCACCAUACUAACAUACUUGAAGAAUAGAAACACGGCAAUAUUGAUUUCCUAAAUGAAUUAAAUAGUGUUUCAUGGGUUGCUAAUUUUUCUUAAAUUAACUAAUCCUUUUAGUAUUAAAAGUAAUUAAAUAGUUAUUUUAAUCAUGCUUAAUUCAAUAAUAAUUAUUAAAAAAAAACACUUUUCUUGCUUUUCAAUCUUUCAAUUUAUAUACUUUGAUUUUUCCUUUAUCUAUUUUAAAUAAAAAAAUAAUUUAACAAUGAGAUUAUGUAAGCAAAUAAUUAAAAAAAUAUGUAUACAAUAAAAAAUAAAAAAUAAAGAUAGUAAACCAUUUACCUGUAUUUAUAACCCUUGAACCUUGUUAUCUUAAUGGAGUUGAAGGACUGGAAAGACAUUUUUUUUAUAGCAUUAAUAAAAGAUAAAUAUCUCUUACAAAACAUUAAGUGAUGAACAAAUACCCCUUGCGCAAUAUUAAUGAGGGAUAAAUAUCCAUUGUAAAAUAUUAACGGGAAUGAAAAUAUGAUAGGUUUUUAAAAACUUUUAUAUACCUAUAAAUAUCAAAAGAUGAAUAUCCUUAACUCUAACAUUUUAUAUUAAAAAUCACAAGAAUAAACAAAUGUAACCUUGUAGUCUAGGUCCUAUAAUGAUCGCUAUACCCAAACCCACUUUGGCUUGGCAUGAUGCCAAGUCCAAGAGCGGUGGAUCUGGCAGCUCGCUAGAUCCAUAUCCGUUUGGGCUCUGCAAGUAGCUGAACUCAAGGGUGUGGGGUCUAGCAACUCGCCAAAUGCUUAAUAAGUAGCUAAACCCAAAAGUGUUGGGUCUGAUAGCUCGCCAUACUUACGUCCACUUGGGCGCAUCGAGUACCUGAAUUCAAGAAUAUUGGGUUUGGAAGCUCGCUAAACUCAUGUCCAUUUAGAUUUAGCGUGUAGCUAAACCUAAGGAUGUUUGGACUGACAGAUCCAUGUUAAUUUAUGUUCAACGCAUAGUUUAACUUAAUGAUGUUGGGUUUAACAGCUCGCCAAAUUCAUAUUUGUUUGGGUUUAGUGCAUAGCUAAACCAAGGAUGUUGGGUUUGGAAAAUCCCCAUAUUUAUUUUUGCUUGAGCUCACCGUAUAGCUGAGCCCAAGAAAAUUAGAUCUGGCAACUCUGCAUACCCAUGUCUGUUUGGUAGCUUGCCAGACUUAUGUCCACUUGGGCUCUGCUCUUAUUCACGCCGAAAGGUAUCUAGCUUGAUCAUGUCAUCUGGACUUGAUAUUCUUUGCUUGGGCACUCCGAGCUAGAAUUCCGGCAACAGCAAAAACAAUUCAUUGAUAAAUGAAACUUCCCAGGAAAUCGAAGUUUAUAAUUGGAGCUGAAAAAUCUGAGAAAUGCAAUUCGGAAUGUUUUCCACUCCCUUCAAGUUACUUGUAACACCACUUCUAGAGUUUCGACAACUCACUUCCUCAAUGGAAACACGGUGGUUUUUUUAUAUAAAAGAAACAUCUCGUCUAGGUAAUGAAAAGAUUAGCUGUUUAAAGUUAAGAGAACUUGUGAAGGAAAAAAUAAAACACAUACAUUACUCAAAAGUUGCACUAGAUUCCAUGGAGCACAAGAUCAGAAGAAAAAGAUCAUUGAUGGAUGAUAUGCGAAUCUUAGAAGCAGGAAUUUCCCUCAACUGAUUAAGCCCACCUCUGGAUUUCGAGAAAGAGCUCUUGAAAAAAUGGGAAUGCUAUUGACAUGUGUUCGAUCCCUUGGGAAACUUCAAUGGCCACAAACAAUGAAAGGAAAGUUCAGUAGAGUCAGGAACUUUAUAGAAAUCGGUUUCCUGUCCUCCUAGAUGCAAGCAAGAGUCCAAGUAUGGAACGAACUCCAGCCUAUCAGCUCCUGAAGAAUAGGAUUUUAAACUAGUGAUAAGCUUUGUAUAGAAUGAAACUCUAAUUAUUGUGUUUGAUUAGAACUCUGCAACGUUAUCUCUACUGUAUAUAUACACCUCUGUUUUCAAUGAAUAGAUAGAAGAGUUUCCUACGUUCCAUAUAUAUUCAGUUGUCUCCUCCACACUAGAAUGGCUGUGUUCUUGAAACACUAUCCUUCCCUUUCUUGGCAUUUGAUCCCCAACUCCUCUAUGAAUAGGUCUAACUAUGCGAGCUUGAUAAAGCUAGCUAUCUGCAAGUAGUCAAAGAAAAUUGCUAGUUUAACUGGAAAGAGUCGAAAGACAUGAUGACUAGGCUGGAUAGUAUAUUCAUUGCUUCAUUAUUUAUCUUCUAAUUUUUUACACUUCAUAGAGGACCUAUAACAUGAGACUACCUGAAUAAGCUAGCAGAAAACAUUGUAUCACACUGACUACAAACAAAACGCACCUGAAUUCACAGUCCAUACAAAUUCAAAACAGCUUUUAGGGAGCUUUGUUGGAUUCUUUAAUGUAAAGGAAACGAAGCAUUAUAGCUUCAUAAUGAUAAAGUGAAUCGCCUCCAUUUUUAUUUCUAUCCCCAGGAGAAGAAUCACCUCCAUUCAUAAUGCUAUUUUUAUUGCUUCAAUCGUUCUCAUCAUCAGAAGAAUUCCCCAACAUAGCAUUCAUAGCCUCCUCCUGCUGCUUCUCAAUCUCCAUGGUCCAUCAUCCACGAUGAAUUCUUUGCUUCUUCAAUUUGUAAUCGUUUUCCAUAUUCUCCAAACUAUAAAGUGAAUCACCUCCAUUUUUAUUUCUAUCACCUUGUGGAUGUGGCUGGAUUUUCCGCCGCUCGAUCCACUUAUCAAUCAUUUCCUCUACAAAAGCCUGUGGAUGAAGAAAAAUUCGCAUCCGUUUCCCAUGAAGCUCUGUUCUUAACCAUCAGAUCCACCUACAGCAAUGCCGAUUCCCAUGCAUCAUUCCAUUCACCCUCUUCUGUUUUGGUAGAGAAUGAUUGAAAAAAUGGGCCUACUCCCUUUAUUCUCCAUCUUUAUUUUAUUCCACUACAACGUGCCGCUGCUAUCAGUCGAAAGCAUCCUUUGGUCUCUUCUCUUGACUGCAAGCAAUAAUAGAUAAAGGCAUUUAGUAUUUCUUGGAUCUAUGACGCAAUCACUGCUGCAGGUUAACUCACUAAGCUGUUUGAAGGAAAGUGGCCCUUUUCAAUUGAUUUUGAAGUAAGGAAAGCAAUGUUCCAACUGAAAAUAAAUUAGGAGCACAGUGCACGCACCAAAGCUAGCAUCCUUGCAGAUGAUCCUGAGUUCCCUUAUAAUGCUUUAGACUUGUUAGUAUCUCCUGAGGGAUUAAUUAGUUAACUGGACUAAUCACAGAAACGCUAGAAUAAACAUUAUGUGGUCCAUGCCAGCCAUUGAAGAACUAAAAUGGAAUGUGGAUUGUUCAGCCUUUGGCAAACCUGGUAGAACUAGAAUUGGUGGGGUACUGAGGGAUCAUAAAGGUGUGGUGUUGUGUUCUUCAGUUAGAUUGAAGAGCAAUAUAUAGUUGUGAUACGGUAGCAAUCUGGAAGUGUAUUUAAAAAAGAGAAGUUGAUACUCUGUUAUUCAACGCUGCGGAUAAGGGAAAGGUCCACGAUGAAGAUCUUGUGUGGCUGGUGUUCUUCAGUUAGAUUGGAAAGGUCAACGAGCCAGUUCAAAGACCAGCGGUGGCACUGCUGCUGGGGUAAAGAGCAACUCAGGAAUCUGCCUAUUGUAUAUAGAUUUUUAGUUCCUUCAUUUUUUUUUUAUGGGUAGGUCCUUCAUUUUUUUAGUAUGAUGGAAAGAAAUAAUAAUUUUAUUAAUGAUAGAAGCCUAGUAAAACUAAAACACUUUCCCUAGCUACAUAUACAAUGCAAGAACCAUGAAGCACUCGAUUUUUCGGUCUACUACCGUGUGAUGCCGUCAUUUGUUUAGUGUGAUUUACAAAAAUAAUAAUUUUAUUAGUGAUGGUAACCUAGUUAAACUAAAACACUUUCCCUAGCUUAAUUAGCCAAAAAACAAGGCCAGUCAACAUGCGUGGAUGCCACAGUGACCAUCUUCCCUAGAAAUGUUUUGUCUCAUCACAAGCAGUGAUGGGCAUGUUGAUGGUUCAAGUGAUGGCAACAGGAAUGCAAUUGCUUUCCAAAAUCAUAUUGAAUAAUGGAACAUUUGUGCUUGCACUUAUGACCUAUAGGCAUAUAGUUGCUGCCGUUUGCAUGGCUCCCUUUGCUUUCUACUUUGAAAGGUAUGUCAUCUUGUCAUCAAUCAAUUUCGUCUCUGUCUUUGACACCAUUUUUCUCAGUUUCUUUUUAUUACUGCUGUGGUUGCAGAGGCAUGAUCAAAAGUAAGAUGAACUGGUCUGUUUUUUUCUGGCUUUUUGUUAACAAAAUACUGGUAGAUAAAACUAAAAUAAAAUAAACUGAAAAAAAUCAAUAUUGAUUUCCUAGACAAUUAAAUAGUGUUUUAGGCGUUGCUAAUAUUUCUUAAAUUAAAUAAUCCUUUUAGUAUUAAAAAUAAGAAUUGAGAAAUAAUAAAGUUUUAAGGAUAAAGGACUCAUCAUUAACAAUAAGAUAAGAUUCAUAUUAUGUUAAAGUAUUUCAACAAGCAAAUAUCUUUCUUAUUUUAAUUUAAACAUGGUUAAUUUUAAUAUUAAUAUGCAUGCUAGGUUUUUUGAUUUUAUAUCAAUUACAAGUUUAAAUAUAUACUUAAUACAAAUGCUAUUCUAUUAUUUUUUAUUUUUUGUGUUGAAAGCAAAACUACUAAUGAAAAAUUACGAUUGGUUGAAUUUAAUGAGAGAAAGACUUUGGUAUGCUGAUCACACAAAUGAGAAGAAGAGGAGGGAGGAGGAGUAAUUUGAGGAGAAUAUUGAAGAUGAAAUUGUUGAAUGGAAAUGGAAGAGAAACAAAUUGAGAGAGGCACAGUGAAAACCCCUUAGAAAUUGAGAGAGGCAAUAUUAAUUUAUGGAAAACAUUGAUAUACUGAUAAAUUGAGUGAAAACUGAGAGUUUUUCCAAUAUUAAAAAAAAAAAAGCCAAGCACUCACGAGUUUUUCCAAGCUUUCAACCCAAAUGCAGGGAACUGAGAAAAUCCACAUUUUUCUCCACCAGAAUAGAACCACUGAAAGAAAGCCCACAGGAAACUUAAUGAAAAGAACAUGAACCCAUGCACCUGUUUCCUGCAAGGUAAUGGUUUUCUUUUUUGAGUUGUUUCGUACUCAACUUCUAUCUAGUGCUAAAUCAGCAAGAAUCGGGAACAAGACUCAUGCUUACCUAGCCAUCUUGUCUCCUGUAGGAGUGUGGAACCCAUUGAUGAGAACUGCAGUUGCAGUUCCACUUGGAUAACUCAAUUUGUAAUCUAUUAUCAUGAUCUGGGGCACCAAAAAAUGCAUGAUCAGAGACCAAUUCAAGCUUCAUAAGUAACAUACAGAAGAAGUCGAGAUCACUGUCGGUUAAGAUUCAAAUGAAGUUGAAAACUUGCAAUCAUCAAUUCAUGAAGAUUUACCUCUAGAACACCAGCACUAAUAAAACAUAAACAAUCGAUUCAUCAAGAAAAUUGAAGAAAACAUAUUACCUUUCGCAGAGGAACUAGAGCAAGUAGCCCAACGAAGCUGCUUACAAAGAGGAAACCAGUCAUCCAACCAAUCCCAGGUUCCUUGGUGCUCCCAGGAGUAUUCCCCUCUGUAUCAACCCCAGCUUGCUCAUAUGUCUUCCUAUUCAAACCCAGUAGAUAAGAUCCAAAACCACCUGCAAUUCAAUAAACAAAUCACAAUUCGGAACACAUUAAAAAGAUUAGCAAAACUUGUUCAAAAUAUAAACAACACAUGAGAUCGAAGUCUCAAACCUCCAACAGCAAUGCUAUAACAAACAACACAUGAGAUCGAAAACAAAUAUUUAUUGCAUAAUAUUAAUAAAAAAUAAAUAUCCAUUAUAAAAUAUUAAUGGUGACAAAAAUAUAACAUAUCUAUUAUUUUACAAGUUAGACUUGAAGGAAUUUCAGAGCAGCGUACCGGAAAUUAAAGAAAAUAUUUAGUGAAAGUUUAGGAAUAACAUUACUGAACCAUUACCGGAAAACAGAGCCCUCAAGAUUGGAGUUUCAAGGUUCUUGCGUACUAAAAGAUUUUUGUUUUCCACCAUCAACAAGGGAAAACCAAUCUUCAUCUGCUCUGUCCUUUUCCUCCUUGACCUCCAAGUCUUCGCAACCAUACAAUUAUUCAAUAUGGAACUGCAGGUUGAAUUAUUCAAUUGCAAAUAUUUCCAUACAAUUAGGUCCCUUUGUUCACUAUGCAAGAAUGUUGGAAACACGGCAAUUUUAAUUUCCAAAAUUGACAUCUUUCCAGCAAGUCUACGUGCGUGCACUUUGUGCUCUAAUUAUAACUCCCUUUUGUGUCUCGUCUGAUGACAACUGUUUUUUUUUUUUUUUUUGUUGAAAUCGAGAAUAGAUAUAAUAUAAAAAAGAAAGAAUAAACAGUGCGAGCAGGGCUUUAGCUUUAGCUACAUAAAUUGUAGCCUAGGCAUCAACCUACAUACAAUAAAUGAAUACAAGAAAACCUAUAACCCUACUAUCAGUCCAAGCAAAAAACAAACCCACACUAAAUCAAAAAUUAAGCAGACCAUGCCGAAAUGCAUUCAUGAUUCCUGUAUAGAUCGGCACCAGUAUACCAAAAGGAAGAGUUGAGAUUCCUGAUCCAUCCUGCAGCAAAGUAAAACAAAAGCCAUAGGAUAUCUUUCCAUAUUGGCUUUUGAUCCUCAAAUAUCAAGUUGUUCCUAGUAUUCCAUAUAGUCCAGACAAUGUUAAACAUAAAGCCCCCCCAAACAGAUCUUUCAAACUUACAGUGAUUGCCCUGCAAAAGACCCAGCCAUUGACAUUGAAGGUCGUCAAGGCCAUAUGGCAUUACCCAACUCAAACCUCUUCAAUCUACAAUUUUGUUCCAUAGUUUCCAAACCACUUGGCAAUGCAAGAGGAUGUGGGAUACAGAUUCUGAAUGUUGCUCACAAAAAGGACACUUGUCUUCCUGAGGGCUUAGAACAUGCCUCUUCACCAGGAAGGCUCUUGUGCAAAGGCCUUCAUUUAAGGCUAGCCAUAAAGUCAUUUCUGUUUUUGGAGGGCAAAUGGAUUUCCAUACAUUUGUGACAUAAGUAGGAGAACCAACAUACCUGAUUCUUUCAAGGGAAAGCAUACAAGAAUUGACAGUAUAAUCUCCGUCUUUCCCCCACUCCCAAAUCAACUUGUCUUCUUUCAAUCGAUGAAUAGCUGCAAGAUUAAGAUCAGACAUUAAGCUUUGAACCAUCAGGGUCUUACUAGCUUUGAGGGGCCUUCUCCAUUUCAGAUUCCAAUACCAAGUAUCCUCUAACCAGUAUCCCAUCUGACUAACAAACCCUGAUUUGGAGGAGGAUAGGUGGAAGAGGGUCGGGUAAGAAUUAGCUAAGCAAAAGCCAGUCAACCAAGUAUCUAACCAAAAUUUAACAUGAUUACCAUUACCCAUUUUAAGUGUACAAGCAGCUCGAAUAAGAGAGCUAUCAAGAUCCAAGCUAGUAAUAGUAGAGCUGAUUCCUCGCCAAAUCCCUGAAAGUUUUUUCUUGAACGUGGGCAUCCCAUUUAUAAACUAAGGUCUGUAUUUUGCUUUAAUAAAAUCUGCCCAACUAGCUUUAUCAUUGCUUCCUAAUUUUCAAAUCCACUUGAAGAGGAGAGCUUUGUUCUUUGCUGAAAUAUUCCCAACGCCUAGACCACCCAUUUUCUUUUCUUUUGUCAUUGUAUCCCAAGCAAGCCGAUGAAUUUUCCUGUUAUCAACACUCCCACCCCACAAAAACCGAGCCUGCAUGGAUGUGAUCUUGCGUGCCACUGUCUUCUUGGAGACUUCUACCCCUCUAUGCCUGGUUUUUCUUGGUAUCAUUGCAUCUUUGAAGUUUGGUUUUCCUUACAAUUUACUUUAUCUUUCAUUAGAUUUCUCUACAUUGUAAGAAAUAUUUUUUAAGUGGAUCAUAUGCCAUGUCAUGUUUUCAAAAUAAUAUUAAUUGUGUAUAUAUUAUAAAAUUUAUAAAUGAUAAUUAAAUGCUUGGAGUCCAUUGCUCUCGAAUGAUGAACCAAGUACAAUACAUAAUGGAUGAAAGUGAAAAAAUCAGAUUAAUGAAAGGAUCCCUAUGCAAGCCAUAUUAAAUAUUACGUAAUGUCAUGUAACCUCCAUCAAAAUAUAGAAAAUUUAAAGUUUGGUAUUGACGGUUCAAUCAUAGUAUGGGCUAAAUCCACUCAUUUGACAUGUGUUGAUCAUAAUACAAAUAAUAAAAAAUAAUUAAGUCAUAAAUACAAUUAAAAUUAUAGAGAUUAAAUGUAUGGUUUGCAAAACUACGUACUAGGAUUAAGUUAUAAUUAACUCAAAUAAAAAAGAAAUUUAUGCAAAGGCUCGGGUUCCCUAGGUUUCAAGGACGAAGAAGUGCUUUUUAGGACCCGUUGAUAGAAAACUGUAUAAAAGUGAUUACAAUUACAGAGAGAAAAAAAAGAGUAAGAUUUUAGAAGAAUUAGUGAAUUAAAAGAGAAGGAGGAGGAGUGAGAAAUGGUGGAUUGGUAAUUUAGAAGAAUUAAAUGCCAAUAACAGUUUAAUCCUCGGAACUAGGAGACGAUAAUGCAUUAAUCGAGAUUAAGUUGUGUCUUUUUCCAUCAAAUAGCUAGUCCGCUUGGCAAGAACACAAGUAUUAAAAAGAUUAGCAAAACUUGUUCAAAAUAUAAACAACACACGAGCACAAGUUUGAACUAUGGUAUUCUCUUGUCGGGUAAAGGGAGUGGUUACAAUUCCAGCCUUUGAGAGGAGCUUAGUCCAUGUUCUGAGGAACAUAAAUGCAAGAAGACCAGUGGUGAGAUUCAGCUUCAUGACUAUAACACUGUAUAUGAUCCCAAUUGCUAUGCUAGCAACAAUUCCCCUAACUGUAAUCUGUUUAGUCCAUGGAGCAAUCCUCUUGAUAUCCAUGUUCAUAUUCAUCACAAUCUUCUCACCAAUACAAUCAACAAACCAAACUCAUCAUCUUGAAUCCAAUAGAAUGAUUUAUAGAAGCUAAACCACACAUCAAGAAAAUCUGAUAAAACUACAAAAAAUAAAAAAUUGAAUAAAACAAACGUCAUGAAUUAUAUUACCUUAUAAGCCUCCUCCUUUUUCUUGCUCCUCUUCUUCUUUCGACCACAGCUUCAAAAAGCACCCGAAGAAUCCAACUUCCUCAGUCAACUACUAACAAGUCUCCAUCAAUCAAUACAAGUAGAUGCAAGAGCAUAUAGCUUCCUUCAGAAAGACAACAAAACAUUCAAAUCAACACAUGGGCAAGGGCCAGCCUCUAAGUUGACUUAAGGAAACUCUCCAAGAAAAACAGACGGCAGCAGACGAACUUGAUUCGAGGCCUUCAAGAAAAGCCCAAAAACCAUAAAUAUUGCUUCUUCCAAAGCAAUAAUCAAGAGCAUUAAUUGUCAGGCCAAGAGAACAAAAACCCAAGCUUCUUAUAUGGCAACAAAACACAGCAAUUGUUUUUCUUAUUUAUACUAAAUUUAAGCACCACCAGCCCACCAACCAGCAUUUUCUAUGUACUGCAAAGAAGUACAAGGCAAGGCUGCGUUGUAGUACAACACUCAUCAGAACUCCAACGAUGGCUGCUAUACAUUUGAACAGAUGUCAGGUUCAUAAAUUUGAUCCUCGUCUCGUUGACUUAUUACCACCACUUUUCACGCUCUCUUCAUCCUUGUAGUACAGAUAUAGAGAGAAGAAAAGUGGGUAAACUUUUCUGAACAGUAGCUUUGCCACUAUUUUUAUGCUAGAACUGGUAAACUUCCAAAGGGUAUCAACUCUUUUUUUGUAACUCUGAUUCCGAAAUCAAAGGAGCCGAGCAGAUUCUCCCAUUUUCGUCCGAUAAGCCUGAUUCACGGGCUAUACAAAAUAGUGGCAAAGCUACUGUCCACUAGGCUUCGUCAUGUCAUGACAGAUGUGAUCAGUGUUAACCAGUCUGCAUUUAUUGCUGGGCGUCAGAUUCUAGACGGGUUCAUGAUAGCAAAUGAGGUUGUCCAUGGUGUGCGCAGCAAGAAGAAGCAUGGCCUCUUAUUGAAGGUAGAUUUCCAUAAAGCCUUUGACUCAAUUUUAUGGGAACAUAUUGACACAAGUAUGGGAUACAUGGGUUUUGGCUCACACUGGAGGAAGCUGAUAUUCGAAUGCUUAUCCACUUCAAAAUUAGUCAUCUUGAUAAACGGUUCUCCUAGUAGAGAAUUUAGUUUGGAGAGGGGUCUCAGGCAAGGGGACCCACUCUCUCCAUUCCUAUUUGACAUUGCAGUUGAGGGAUUGACAGUUUUAUUCAAUAGGGCAUCAGCUUCAGGUUACUUCAAAGGCUUACAGACUACCCCAGGUCAUUACUUAACUCAUUUGCAAUAUGCCGAUGACUCUCUGAUUUUCUUGCCAAAUGAUUUUCCCUCUCUUCUACAUGCCAAGAGGAUUCUACGUUGGUUUGAGAUCAUUUCGGACUGAAAGUUAACUUCUAUAAAAGCUCACUAAUAGGUAUCAACUUGGACAACGACUACACCUCUAGCCUGGCGAACUCAGUUUUCUGUCGUAGUGAUACUUUCCCGGUUAGGUACCUUGGACUACCUCUUGGAGCCAAUCCCAGCAGACUCUCUACUUGGAAACCAGUGUUGUCCACUAUCAGAGCAAAGCUACUCACAUGGAAAGGGAAUUUUUUGAGCAUGGCGGGAAGGUUAUGUCUAAUUAAAUCAGUCUUGAGCUCUCUUCCUCUGUUUUACAUGUCAGUUUUUGCUAUGCCAAAGGGUGUUACUAAAGCCAUCUCUUCUCUAACCCGGUCUUUCCUUUGGAAAGGAAGCUCAACUUCUCAUGGCCUUUUUAAGGUGGCUUGGCACAAGGUAAUAAAGGAUAAAUCUUCUGGUGGUCUCGGGCUGGGAUCCAUCCACAACAAAAAUCUGGCUUUGCUCUUUAAAUGGCUAUGGAAUCUAGACAAUGGAGUGGCAGGAGGCUGGCAAGAACACAUUCUUCUAAAAUACCGACCUCACUUUAUAAAUGGUAUCCCUGAGUUUGCAGGUUCUUUAUCUCCAACUUGGCAUGGCAUUGUUUCGGCAAUCUUCUCAACACAAAACAUAGCCAAUCUUUUACAUGCAAAUGUCGGGUUCAAGGUGGGUGACGGGAGGAACAUCCGGUUUUGGACUGACUCUUGGCUCGGCUCUGCAACCAUCUCCAGCUCUUAUUCCCCAGACUUUAUAACCUCUCCUUGCAGCAAAACACCAGCCUUGCAGAUAUAUACAAUUUGACAGAUGCAUCUUUAAACCUUCCUGGAGAAGAACCCUUCGGCCUCGUGAGAUCUGCCAAGGGAGAGCUUGAUCGCAGAGGUGCAGCGUGGUCUCCUUUUCUCAGAUGGUGCAGACUGCAAGUUAUGGAAAUUCCACAGCUCUGGCAUGUACUCAGCUCAAUCAGGUCGCCUCUUCUUUGAUAGUCUAUCGGCCACUGAAAAUAAUCACUCCCUACUCUGCUAUGGAAUGGUUAUGCCCCCCCAAAAGUGGAUGUGUUCAUUUGGCUUCUUCUUCAUGGAGGUUUGAGUACAAGAAGUUUUUUAGCUGAGAGGAGAAUCAUAAAUUAUGAGGAAUCUCACUGCCCAUUCUGCUGCAAGGAAACCGAGAUAAUUAAUCAUCUUUUCCAUUGGUGUCCUAUAACAUGGUCUCUUUGGGGUCGUUUCUUGAAAUGGUUCGGGUGCUCAGGUUGUCUGCACAAAGACCCAAAUCAAAAUCUACAGGAAUGGUCCGGAUUGAUUAAUGGAAAAUUUCAGCGACGUGCUAUUACCCUCCUCUGUAAAGGUCUGUAUUGGUCAAUUUGGAUAGCGCGCAACCGCCUAAUCUUCGAAUCCAAGGCUCCUGAUUGGGAUAUGAUUUUUGAUCUCACUUUUCACCGUUUGGCUUUCUGGUUGAAGUCCUCAGUUACAAAUUUCAGCUAUACAGGCUCAGAUCUUUUUAGAAAUCCUGAAUGUAUUAUGAACUGGACUAACUAAUUAAGUCCCUCAUCACUUUGGUCUUUUCUUUCUUCAUAUUUCCAUUGUAUUCUAUCUUUCGUUCAGCCCCACUUACUUGAUGGGGCUGCUUAUUUAAUAUAUAAUUAUCUCGUUUACUAUCAAAAAAAAAAAAAAAAAUGUGGGCAAUCGUAAGCAUAAAAUUGCUUAAAGUGAAAAGCAAGAAAUGGAACUGCUAACUGGGAACUGGCGACUUCACUUGAAAGCAAGCUUGUCAAUUCUAUUCUGGUAAGUGUUUUGUUUUUUUAAUUAAAAUAGAAUAUUUUAGUUUUGAAACGUUUGAGCGUACCGUUUCGGGGUUGUACUGUUCAUAUAUAUAUAUACUGUUCAUAUAUAUAUAUAUAUAUAUAUAUAUAUAUAUAUAUAUAUAUAUAUAUUCAUCAAACAUAAUUCAAAUUUAAGAUAAAUUAAUUAUAAAUUAUGCAAUACAAACACAAUACUAAACAAAUAUAAUUUCAAAAUUUAAAAUAUUUUUAAAUAGUAAAGAUUAAAUAGAUAUUUAACUUAAAGUACUUCAACUUAAAUAAAAUAUCAAAAUAUUAUGAAAGUAAAAUGUUUUAACAAAAAUAUUUUAAAUAUAAAGUUAGGUCAAUGUUAUCAAGUGGCUAAUAGAAUCUGAAGCAUCCCUUGUUUUACUUAAAUUCCUACAAGGUCUAAACAUGAAAAAAAAUAACAUGAAUAUAAAUCAUAUAUAUUAGUGAUAAAUCUAAUUUUAAAAAAUUAAUAUUAUUGUUAAUGAAAAUAGUAAUAAUAAUUUUCAACAUUAUUAUUAAUAUCAUUGCUAUUGAAAAUAGUAAUGAAAAAGAGCUUUUUAUAAUCGGGUGGUUUAAUUAAUGAAAUUGAGUAAAGUUCAAUUUGAUUCAAUGGCUUUUCAAGAGCGGAACGGAACAUGUGGAAUGAAAUUGGAACGUUUCGGGCGGAAUUUAACCGAAAAAUCCGGAACGGACCGAGAUUUAAAAUAAGAUGAAAUUUGUUCCGUUUUGUUCCGUUUUUUGAAUUGGUAUGGAAUGUUUCAGCCAUUUCAAACGGAACAGAACGGAAUUGACAACCUUGCUUGAAAGUGCCUUCCCUUUACAGUCAAAACAUGUGUAUGGCAAGUUAAAAGUGGAUCUUGAUCCCUCUACUCUUAUUUCCCUUAAUUUAUCACCUUCUAUCUUGAUAUCACUCUCUUUAUUAUAUUCUUUAUUUUAGUCAACUGUAGCCUAGCCGUGAGACACCUCAAUCCCAACCUAACUUGUUUGGAUUAGAACCCAAAGACUGCUUCGUUAAAGAUUGAUAUUUAUUUAAUCAACUAUUGUACUAUACUAGGCAAUGACGUCGUUUAAUACUAAAAAAGUAAACAUUUUCAAUAGGAUGUUCUCUUAUCCCACGCAUAAGAAAAAAAAAAAUGUCACGAGAGAUUAAUUGUUAAGGGGUUAUAUUGAAGAAAAAAUAGUAUGAGGAUCAAAUUAACAUAGAGUGUAUAGUGGAAGGAUAAAAAAGACAACAUUAGCAAGGCGUGUGGCCAAAACAUGUCAAAGUCAGUUAAGAAGAGGAAAAAGGCCAAUUUUGAGGCCAAUAAUAUAGAAAUCUAAAAAAAAAACGAUAGAUGAUUGAUGUAAGAAAGAGAUAUGAUACGGAUGGUGGGGUGGGCCUCCGAAAUGGUGGGGAUGGUAUUCAUUGAAUGCCGAUUUUAUCAACCUUUAGAUGGGAUAACUGUUUCUGACCAUUAAUUUCUAGUUUAUAAAAUGAUGUGAUAAGAAUAGUUAUGUUAAAAAAAAUUGUGUUUUGAAUUUUAAAAAAAAAUAAGUUUUUUAUGUUUUAAUAUAAAAAUAAAUUUUGAAAACUAAAAAAAUAUAUAAAAUAACUAUUAACAUAAUAAUAGACUGGCAAUGACAUAGUUUUUUAAAUAUGAUUCUUUUUAUGCUACUUGAAAUUUAUGCAUGUUCUCUAUUUUAAAAAAUAAAAAUAUUAUUUAAAUAUAUUUUUAAAAAUAAUUAUUAUUAUAAUAUCAAACAUGUAUUGAUAUUGAUCUUGCUAAAUUUAAGAUAAUAUUGUUUCAAGAUUGUUUUUAUAGAAAAAAGUUAAAAUGUUAUCAAUUUAACCGGAUUGAGUUUAAUAUCUAUAAGAAAUUAUUUUUAGUAAAUUAGAGUAGGUCAUAAAAAUUUAGUCUAUUGGUAGAUGGAAUAAACUACACAUGAAUUUAUAAUAUGAUUGAUUUACUUCAUGUAAUUUAAAUUAAAGAAAAAAAACAUACAAUUCCUCUGCCUCAAAAUAAAUGAAAACAAAAAUACAAACGAAUUAUUGAAUUUUCAAGUGAUUUUAUUGUUCCUAUUUUGAAACUUGAAAUGUAAUAAUUCCUCAUCUAAUUUUUUAAUCGGGUGCAAUAAUUUAUUAUUUAUCACUUAGUUUACAAAAUAAAAUAAAACAUUUAUUUCAAAGCGUUGAUUUAGUAAUUAAUCCAAUUGUUUUCUACUGUGAUCACUUUGAUUCUGGGAUUGAGAGUGAUAAAUUAUCAUCGAAUUAAUUUUGAAAAUUAUCAUCGAAUUUAUCUAAAAAGGGAAUUACUUAGCGUGAGUAUCUCUCUUAUCAAGAUUGAUAGUUACGUGCAUUAGGGGAACCCUUUCGUCAUAGCACAAUCGUUCUUUUGCACCAAAAAGUCAUCAAAAAAUUAUUCCAAAACAAACACCACAGACACCAACCCACCCUCCAAGAAGCAAACAAUUUUGCUGAAAGGAAUAUGCAAUAAAUAUCUCCGUUUAAAUCACCUUAAUUCAGUGGAAAAUUAUGUGCGCCUUAUUUGUACAUUAAGCUAUGUGCAUGCAUCAAAGUGUGGUUUGAUUUGAUUAACUGCUUGACAUAAAUAAAAUGAAAAGAGUUCUUUGGCAUUUUUUAGAUGAAAAAAAAAUUACAAUGUUAUGAUAUUUGUUUUUCUCUGACCCAAGUUUUGUGGAUAUGAAGCAGUGAAGAUGUUGAAGUUACAUCUAGACUGCAAAAUUCAACUCCUUGGUUAUUAAAACUUAAAACUUGGUAAAAAAAUCUAGAUUACGAGUUAAGCUCUAUUAAUUAAAAUAAUAUUAUUUUAUUUUUUAAAAAUUAAAUUAAAUUUUAACUAAAUCAACUAAAUCAUGAACUAAUCAGUUUAAUAGUUUAUUACCAAUAAAUUAUGCCAUUUUACAUUUACUUAUUUUUUUGGGAGUAAGAACUCAAUUUUGAAAGGGACGGUGAGUUUCAGUUUUGAACUUUAUUUUUACCUUUUAUUGGAACUCAAUAUUGAAAGGGACGGUUAGUUAUAGUUUUAAUUCUAGGUGGGCUCGAUUGGAUGAGUUAUAGCAAGGUUGUCAAAAACAUUUUUUUGACACGACACGGAACAUACAAUAUAAACUCGACUCGUAAACUCGAAUCGUAAAAUCGUAAAAUCAAAAGUAAAAUUUUUUAACUAAAAAUCGUAAAAUCGCAAGUAAAAUAUUUUAACUAAAAUCGUAAAAUCGCAAAAUAAACAUAUUGCCACUUGUAGUUUUUUUAGAAGCCAUGUAUCCUACAAUUCAAGAAUCAUUUGUAUAAGCCAACACAAAGAACAUAAUAUUUAGCAUGCAGUUAAGGCCUGGAAUUGAUGAGAUGAUUCUGUUCCCUGCAGCGAAAGUCUUAGCCUAAGGGGCAUUAAUCAAUAGAGAUCUGUGUAUAGGCAGCUCACUCUCAAUUCUCAAAGCAUACGUGGGUAAAAUACCUUUGCAAAAUAUAGCUACGCAAGAGUUCAAAACAACAACAAUCAAACUUAAUUUUAUCAUCAAAUUCAAAACAACUUAGUUAACUAACCGGGACCAUCUAUAAAACCGAAAAAAAUACACACUUCACUCACAGAUUCACAGAUUCACAGAUUGCAGAAUUACAUAAUCUGCAACACCGCAAGCAAGAUCAAACUGAAAAAAAUUCACACUUCACACUUCACAGCAUGCCCAUUGCCCAGAUCAAACCGAAAAAAAUUCCCCGGACAGAAGCAAACCACUUAAUUGUAGAAUACCCAGAAGGGCCAGAACAUAAACAUGGAUUCACAAUUUCACAGCAUACCCAAAUCACAGCAUACCCACCAUUAGACAGAAAAUAACAAAGCUUGGGAUGGGAUUGAGAAUCAAUGCUUACCUUCGUCUCGCCAAGAACAGAGAGGGGACGAUUGGCGAAGUCUGGGUCCUCUGGGACUCUAGACUCUGGAGUCAAGGAGGGUAUGAGUCUGUGAGACAAGGAGUCAGGUUUAUCGAAGAUCCAACUACACUCUCCUUAGCCAGCAGGUAGAAGAGCAACAGCAAGCAGCGGCAGCAUACUACGAGUCGUCUCUCUCAGGUGACUCAAAAAACAACAAACUAACAAUAAAGCAAGAGAGAAGCUUCGUGGAUUGGGAGUCGGAUCAUAGAUCAAUAGCAAAUCAACAGCAAGGAAACAGUAAUCGAAUUGGUUUGUAUCCAUCCUCUGCAGCGAUCGGGUUACAAAGGCAAUCGAGCGGGAGUAGUUUCGGAGAGAGUUCGUUAUCGGGAGAGUAAUCGAAUUGGUUUGUUUCAUUGCUAAAUGCUAAUUUCCAUUUAGUUCCCGUGACUGUGAGCCCAUGCGUGACAUUUCAUUUAACUCGUGAAAACGUAACGGUUUUAACGUUUUUUGCGAGUUGAUCCGAUUUUUUGCGAGUUUGACUCGGUUUUAUGCGAUUUUAAUGGUUUUCGAGUUUUGCUUCCGUUUCUACACGUUUUGCUGGUUUUAACUCGUAAAAUCGUACGAUUUUACGAGUUAAAACGCAUUUUUAACAACCAUGAGUUAUAGUUUUAAUUCUAGGUGGGCUCGAUUGGAUUUCUUUGUUAAAAAAAACAAUAACAUGAUCAAUAUCUUCAAAUCAACAUUAGUGAUGUUGAUAUAAUUAACAUUUUUUGUACAAUAGGAUGUUUUGAUAAGCUUUUGAUUGCACUAAAAAAAUUACAUCCAUGUUCAGAGUACUGAUAUAUUUUUUAAGAAAUUAAUUAUUUUGUCCAGAGGAUUCGAGCAUUAAAAUAUAAAAAUAUGGAAGAUACUUAAUAUUUACCAACAAAACUAAGCCUGUGAGAGUUCACUUCAUACGAAUAGAUAUCUAUGUUGACAAAUUAUUUGCCACUUGAAGUUGAAGAUCAUGGCGUUUAAAAUGAAAUUAACGCAUUAUAAGCUAAUUAUAGCUAAUUAUGUGGAUUCCAACUCAUAAUUAGUUUCAUGUUAGGAGCGUGAUUCCAUGUUUUACUUAAGAAACAUUGAUUUGCACUUAUAUGCCACUUGAAGCUGAAGGCCUUUGCAUUUAAAAUUAGGUUAAUGCAUGUGGUGAGUAAGCUAUUAAUUUAUUGUGGUUUCCAACUUCAAAAUUCGAGAAUCAAUUAUAUUGUGGGUUAGUGAUAAAAUUUAAAAGAAGGAGCAUUCUUGAUUUCUUUCAUGUUAAAAGCAUUAAUUACAUGCCCUGCUUUAAAAAAAAUCAUGAUUAAUUUGCUAUACCAUAUUUGUUUUAACAAAAAAAUAGAGUGAAUCAUGCAUUGCGUGAAUAAAUAUAACUAACAUUUCAAACCUAUGUAUUUCGUAUCAAUACGUUAAAUAAAGAGUAUAGAUUAUAUCUCAUUUAGUUUAUAACUAGAUAUGUUGUCGGUAACAAUUUUUUUAAUAUAAAAAAAAUGAUAGAUUAAAAAAAUCCAACAAUAACAACAAAUAAACUGACAACAAAAAAAACAUAUAUGAGCCUAUUUGGAUUACUACACAACCCAAUGUUAACCUAACUGAAUAAAAAAAGAAAGAAAAAGAGAGUCAAACUUUAAAAAAAAAAUAACAAAUAACAAAAAAUAUUGACUAAAAAAAAAGGAUAAAAAAAUCAAGCAAACCUAUGCUUGAAAUAUCGCAAUUAUUGCAAACAAAAAAAUUAGGACCAAACUUGCAGAUGAAAAAAUCAUAGGGUGUGAAAUUAAAAUUUUUUUGUAAUAUGAUAGAAUAUUUAUAGAUUUAAAAAUGGUGGGGGUUAAAUAUAAAAAAAAUUAUCGAGGGCUAACCCUAUAGAAUCAAACAAAAAAUAAAUUAAAAUAGAGAAUUAUACAAAAAACAAAUAUAAAAAAAAGUUUUAAAAGAGGAUAAAAAAUAAGACAACAUCAAUUUAGAAAAAGAAAAAAAAAGGUAAAUCUCUUAAACCUGAUUUAAUAUCUAAAAGUCGCAUCCUUUGAAAUGUUUUACCCAGAUUCAAUAAAAAAACAUAAUUUUCAACCAAUUUAAUUUUGAAAGAUGAAAUCGGUAGAAAAAUAUUAAUAAAAAAUCUCCAAAAAAAAAACAUUAAAUAUGAAGAAAAAUUUGAUAGAAAAAACCUAAGAAUGAUGCAAUUUAAUGAAAAAAAAAAAAACAUAAUCCAAAAUAAAAUAAAUAUCAAUUAAAAGAAUAAGAACCAAAUUAUAAAGAUUAAGCAAAAAUCAUAGGUGGUGAAAUUGUAAACAUAUAUAAAAACUAAGUAAACCCGAGCAACAUCCUCAAUAUGGUCAAAUCUUAAAAAGCUUGCAGCCUAUGAAACCCUGAAUCCGGAUUCUAUCAAUAAAUUUAUUACAAGCCGAUUUAAAAAUAUAAAUUUUAAAAACUUAUCAAAAAAAAAAAACAAAACAAAAAAAAGCUUGGAGCGAAACUGACUGUCAGCUCAAGUAAACAAAUCAAACAUACGGUUUAGGAUAUGAAAUUAAGAUGACUCUAUAAAUAGAAAAGCUAAAAAAACACUAACAACAAACAUAUUAAAUCAGGCUAAUCCUUCAGAUCUAGUACCUAGGUCAUGAGAUUGAAAUGACCACAUCAAAGGCAUACUUGAUAAAACAAAAAAGCAAGAUUCUUCAUCAAACAAAUAUUGAAUGAUGAAACUGAGAAAAAAAAUAAACCAAAAAAACAUUGUAAAAUAAAAACAAUAGCAAUAAAAAAAAUAGAACUAAAUUUUACAUAAAAAUUAAAUGAAAUUAAAUAUUUAGGAAAAAAUCAAAUCAAAUAUUUAGGGAUGAAAUUGUAAAAAACAAAUUCAUUAAGAAAAUGAUUUAAAAAAUAGCAAUUUAAAAAAUUAAGACCAAAUUUGACAUAAAAAUUAAAUAAAAUUAAAUACCUAGAGGUGGGAUUAGAAAAGGAUAAAUCAAUCAAGAAAAGAUUAAAAACAAAACAAAUAAAAAUUAAAUUAAUGAGUACCAAAUUUGAAAAAAAAAUCAAAAAAUCAAAUGACCACAGAUAAAAUCAAGAAUAAAAUUUAAUUAUAAAUAAUAAAUAUAAAUAAAACAAUUGCAAAUAAGAGAAAAGAGACUGAAUCAGAAGAAGAAAUAAAAUGAAGGGCUAGUAUGCAUUUUUUCCUAGUAUGAAUUUUUUCAUGGCCAGCACACAAUCUAAAAAAGAAAGAAAGAGAAGGAAAAUAAAAAAAAUAAAUAAAAGUAAUUUCAAGCUAAAUCACAUUGAACCACUAUAUAUGUGUCAUCCAGAGAGGAAAAGGACGCUGGAAUGAAUUAAAUGAUGUGGCAGAAUCAUGGUUACAACUAUAUGAGCCAACCGCACGCGCCGCCAAAAGGUGGUGGAGCAGCUAACUUGUGCGAGACAUGUGUCAAUUGCUGUUUUGUUUUAUAUUUUUUUUGUGAAAAAAAAUGAAAAUGUCUUUUGUACUAAAUAAUAUUAACAAACAAAUUAUGGUGAAACUACAACUAAGCCCCUGUAGCUAAAGUUAAAAAACUCAAAUUGUAAGGACAAUGUAGUAAUUUAAUUGUGCUUUUUAAAUGUGAAAAUACAAAAACGCUCUUAUGCAAAAAGCAUUGAAUAAUUUUAUUCAAGAGUUACAUUAAUAAAUUUUCUAUGAAUUUAAAAAUGCAAUUACUGAAAUAACCCUAUAUAAUCGUUAAAAGAUAUUUAUGUUAUGGUAAAAGGAUUGCCUUACCCUCGAAGUAAAGACAAGAUAAAAUGACCACGAAACAAAAUAAUAAUUAUACUAUUGUAAUAAAUAAUAAUUUAUAUCUCGGGACAUAAUAAUGUCAGUAAGGGGUUUAAUGUUUUGGAUAAUUCUAUAAAUAUUCAAGUAUACAUGUUAUGCUUGUAAAAAACAAUAGAGAUAGCGGGGCCAAAUGAUAUAUGUCUCCUUAUACUCUUUUGUUUUAAAAAUAUAUAAAUUCAUUCUAGAAUUAUUCUAAAAUUGAUUUAUUUUAUAUCUUCUUUUUAUCCUCCAAUGAAACAAGUUUUAAUCUCUUCUAAAAAACUAUAUAAAAAAUACUAACCAAACAUUACCUUGUUUCCUUGUGUAAAUAUUAAUAAAAAAAUGUUAAAUAAAUGAUAAAUGGUAUAAUAUUUGUUUUUCUUUGAGAUCAAGUUGUUCAAAGAAAAUAGAAAAGUGUGGGUUGAAUCCCAGGACCUCUUGGAAAGUCCAUUGUAUUUUUUUAUAUUAUUUAUAAUCUAAUUUCUAUGAAAUUCUAGAAAAUUUUAUAGCACCAUAAAUAAUAUACAUUUAAUUGGAUUUGGAUAAUAUAGCCUCUUUUAUUGAAAUUAAAUCUCUCCUUAUAUUAUUUCUUUUCAUAAAAGUAUUAUUAUUAUUAUUGCUAUUAUUAUUGUUAUUUUAUCAUAGGACUUUGAAAAAAACUUCAUUACACGUAGAAGUAGAAAGUAGAAAGAAGGUUUAAAGGAUAUUUGAAAGGGUGAUAGUGAUUACUUUUCAAAGUAAUUUUUAUUUUAAAAAAUAUUAAAAUAAUAUUUUUUUUUAUUUUUUAAAAAUUAUUUUUGACAUCAACAUAUGAAAAUAAUUUUAAAAAAUAAAAAAUAUAUUAAUUUGAAGCAAAAAAAAUUUAAAUUUUUUUAAAAACACUUUCGAAACACAAUGCUAAACAUGGUCUUAGCUUUGCCCUGUUUGUUUUUACGUUUCAAAAGUAUUUUUAAUUUUUUUUUAAUUUUUUUACUUUAAAUUAAUAUUUUUUUAAUAUUUUUAAAUCAUUUUAAUACAUUAAUAUCAAAAAUAAUUUUAAUAUAUUUUUUUAUAUAAAAUAUUUUAAUAAACAAUACCAAUUACACUCUUAAACAAACUAAUAAUGCUUUACCCCAAAAUCUAGCGUGUCCUUUCCCACCCCAACCCUAACCACCCAUUACAGCCCAAACCCUCACCACCACCACCACAUAAAUUUACAAAACCCCAACACGCCACCCAAAAAGAGCACCAAGCAAAGGAUAUUAUUGUACUUUAAACACAAAUACAAAAUCAAUGAGGGGUUUGUCAGAGACAGUUUUUGCAAGAACCAGUGCAGCUUUAAGCUGUUUGUUAUUGUUUACUGGGCUCUGGAAACCUUACCUGAAUCGCGAAGCAUCAAAGAAAGCCCUUGAACAUAAGAAGGAAAUCGAUAAGCGUUUGGGUCGUCCCUUUAUCCAAACAAACCCUUAUGAGUGGUGUGAGUGUGUCAAAGUUUCUGUUUUUGUUGAAAAGUUUGGAUUUGUUUUUUGCAUUUUUUGAUUUGGGUUUUUUUUAGGGGGGGCUUGGAGGAUCUUGUGAAUCUUGGUUAUAGGGGUCAUUAAUGGAAUAUACGGUUUGUUUUGGUUUAUUGUUUUUUGGAGGAUUUUGUGAAUUUUGGUUAUAUGGUCAGUUAAUGGAACGAAGAAUUUUGUGAAUUUGGAUUAUAAGGUUAGUUAAUGGCAUAUAGGUUUUGUUUUUAUUAUGUGUUAUUGUUAUAUGCUUAAAUUGUCAUUUACCUACAAAAGUUGGAAUUUUGUGUAUGAUAGUGGGGUUGAAGUUGAUAUUGCAAUGAGGGAUGUGGGUGGUUUAUUGUAGGGAAUAGGGAUUGGGGGAGGGGGGGUUAAGUGCUUUAGUGUAGAAAGGUGCUUUAAUUAGUGUUUAGGAUAUGGGGAGUGAUUGCUUGUGCCGAAUGAGAUGAGAUUAAGUUUCCAGUUUUGCUGGGAUGAAUGGAGUUGCUUUGUGGUAGUUGAAACUAAGUUCAUUUCAGAUUGAGUUAUUUGUUGAACUUUUGAACUGGUGGGUUGGAGUUUAGGCCUCUAGGUUGUUGAAAAGUUCAAAUUCUUGUGUGACAAUAGAGAUGGGGGCUAUGAGAUUAAGAUUGCGAUGAGGGAUCCUGGUGGUUUAGUGGGUUAUUGUAGGGAAUAGGGAUUGGGGGGGAUUUGAGUGUUUUAGUGAAGAUAGGUAAUUUAAUCAAUUUUUGGAACGUGGGGAGUGACUCCUUAUGCUGAAUAGGGUGUGUUUAAGUUUCCAGUUCUGUUGGGAUGAAUGAAGUUGUUUUGUGCUGGUAGAAACUAAGUUCAUUUCUGAUUGAGUUGUAUAUUAAGCUUUUGUACUGGAGCAUUGGAGUUUAGGCCUUUAGGUCGAUGUUAUAGCAUGCUUGAAUUGUCAUUUAUUUGCAAGAAGUUUGAAUUUUGUGUGAUAAUGGGAUGAGGACCAUGAGGUUAAGACUGCAAUGAGGGAUGUGUGUGGUUUGGUGGGUUAUUGUAGGGUAUCAGGGUGUUUUGGUGAAGAUAGGUGCUUCAAUCAGUUUUGAAGAUGUUGGGGAGUGAUUGCUCGUGCUGAAUGAGAUAUGAUUAAAUUUCAAGUUUUGUUGGAUGGAUGGAGUUAUUUUGGGUUGGUGGAAACUGGAGACCAAGUUUGUUUCUGAUAUAUUGGAACUUUUGCACUGCUGCGUUGACCUCUGGGUUGGUGCUAUAGUACUGUUGUUACAACCAUAGACAAUUAUAAUAUUUCAUGGUGUCUUCAAACGUGCCAUUUUUUUCCAUGCAGUCUAUACUUUGUUGGCUGCUACUAUGCAACAAAUAAUCAGAGUUUCUAAUGUCAACUGAAUACCUGAAAAUAGCCAUCAUAUGGAGUAGAUUUGAGUCUCUGCUAUAUCAUAAACUAAUGGCACAUGAUUAUUAGUUGCAUUUAUGUGAGUCCACCUUUUUUGAAAAUGAUACUACGUGAACACUGAUGGCUGCUAUGUUCAGUAAUAGCCUCCUGCGUGACUGACUGGGACAAGUUCAUAGUUGGAAGAAAUUAAAUUUGAAGGCUUGGUCUUAACCAAUAUGAUUGCUAUAACUGGAAAACAUAGAUAUUACUUCCUUCUAUGCCUGAUGAAUUUUGGAUCAAAACCCAACUUUUCAAUUAUGAAGCCUUCUGAUUGCAAUUGCUAUGUGGAAGAUUUAAACUGCUUUGUAACGAUCAAGCCUAUCCUCUCAACACUAUCCAAUAUGGCCAUGUUCUCAUAUUGAAAAUGUAAUUGAUUGGGAUAGAGGCUUUAUAAUUUAUGGUCGGUUUAAUGGUUUAUCAAUAUGCUGCAAUUGUGUAUUUUUAUUUUUGAAUCAAUUGGAGGAUUGGAAUCUAACAAGCAAGCUUUGUAUGAACUGGUGAUUCUUCCUCUGCGGAAACCUGAGCUCUUCUCACAUGGGAAACUUCUUGGUCCACAAAAGGGGGUAUUGUUAUAUGGACCUCCAGGCACCGGGAAGACCAUGCUUGCAAAAGCUAUUGUCAGAGAGUCUGGAGCUGUUUUUUUAAAUGUGAGGAUCUCUAAUCUGAAGAGCAAGUGGUUUGGCGAUGCACAAAAGCUCUGUGAGUAUAGAUUGCAUUUGAAUUGCCUCUCUUGUGCUGGAGCUUUUUCUUGCAUUUAGCAAAACAAUGAUGAUUUAAAAUUAUUGCCUUUUUAUUCUAAAACUUGCUGUCACCCACUGAUUAUGUUGAGUGAAAUUUAGUUUCACUCUGAUAAUGGAAACAAGGUAGUACUUUGUGAACAUUCAUAACUAAAAUUGAACAUUCCUAACUUGUCCUUGUUGAAGAUCUUUAUUAGCAGCAAGAUUUUGUUGGAUGCUCUAUUAACUUUUAAAAACAGGGCACUGUAGCUUGUUUAUCUAAUGGAUCUUACUCCGAUAAAUGAGGUUGUGAAAUGAUCAAAAUAUUGGUAUUUUUGUUGCUGUGUGGUAUUUCUAUAUAUCUUGUAUCAGGGAUAUAACAAGAGUAAUGAUUGGUUUAUAUUCUUGUAAUUGUGAAAGUGGUCAUUACUGUAUGUUGCAACUACAUCUUUGUGUUGAAACCAUCCCUUUUUACAUUCUUUUCUGCAUCUGAAUCCAUGCAAGUCUUGUUGGUUCUGUGCUGACUAGAAACAGAUUUAGAAGUAAUUAACUAAGUUUGAGUAGCUUUUUUGCUCCUAUCGAAGUUUUCAUAAUUUGAUUGCUGUUGAUUCUCUUCUAUGUUGCUGCUGCUGUUUUUAGCCUGGCUUAUAAACUUCAGCUUACUUUUAUAUUUAUUGAUGAGGUUGACAGUUUUCUGGGCAGUGUCGUACUACAGAUCAUGAGGCAUUAACCAAUAUGAAAACUGAGUUCAUUGCAUUAUGGGAUGAGUUUACUACAGAUCGUGAGUUCUUACUCUUGAAACAAGUGUUGCAUUUGUGCAGUGACUUGCUAGAAUGUCUUUUCAGGUCGAUUUCAGUGCAUGAAUCAAAAGCUUUUCUUUUGCUUUAGAUAUAAACUUGCCAAUCACCAAUGUUGACUGAUUUUGUUGAUGAUUUUAGCUCUUUGUAAGAGUUGUGGAACAUUGUUUGUAAAUGUUGAGAUGGGUUUAUUACUCUUUUUAAUAGUCAUUUAUGACUUACAAGUUAUCAGAAUUACUUUAUUUUGCUUGCAAAUAUUGCUGCUGUUAUGAGAACUGAAUCUGUUAGUCUAGUGUUGUUCUUUUAAGUUUAUAAGAAUUGUUUUAAUUUGCUUGCACAUUCGUAGGUUUGUAGAGCAUUUUGUUCAUAACACUUUAAGUCUCAAAAUACUCCUGGAAAGGGAGAUUGAUUUAAGUGAAUCAAGAAUAAGGAAAUGAUCAAGAAUAAGGAAAUGUUCAUAACUCAAUAAAACAUACAUGAUUUUAUAGUUAACACAAACUAUUGCUUGCUUGACCUAUUACAUACAUGGAAUAUUUUUCGUAGAAGUAACACUCAAUUAACCUUGAAUAAAAAAAAAGUGAAGGGAAUCCAAUACCAUGAAUCUGCCACUCUAGUGUUGUUUCAUUGUCAAAUCCACUUGAUAUGUUGUUUGCACUGCAAAAUUAGAAAGGUAAGACUGGUCAAAUAAAUUGUAGAGAAAAGAUAGCCUACAUAAACUAUGAACAUAAAACUUGAAAACUUACUUGAAAAUAUCAAUUGAAUUAUUUAGUUUCUUCUAGCACCAUGUUUGCAACAUUCUUCUUUGUUUUUUUGCUCUUGAGAUUCCAUUUAUCUUCAACCAUCCUAAAAAACCAUGAAGGUUUUUUUGUUCUAAACACAACGUAUCCCGUUGCAACUCCAAACACAAACCCACAUCCAUACCCCAUUGUCACAACUUUCCAUCCAAAUCCUUCUCCAAACAAUGUUGAAUCAUCUCCUUCAUCAAAGCUUGAUGGUGGCAAUGACGGUGCCUCAUCACCGUAGCAUUCUUUUAGUACUUGAAAUCCACAUAAACCUAAGUUUCCUUCAAAUGAGCUUGCAUUAAAGGUGUUGAAUUGCUCUCCACUUGGUAUGGGCCCCUCGAGUUGGUUAUGUGAAAGGUUUAGGAUUGCAAGAAAUGUUAGACCCCUCAGUUGCAUUGGAAUCCUUCCGGUAAGCAAAUUUGAAGUUAGGUCUAAUGAUUCCAAAUUGGUCAAAUUUUCUAAUGAUGAUUGGAUAUGACCUGUAAGGGAAUUAUGAGAGAGGUUGAGUUGUUGGAGUGCUUUUAGCUUUCCAAUCACCUUUGAAAUCUCUCCGGUGAAAUUAUUUUUUGAAAAAUCAAGUACUCUGAUGGUACUUUGUAUCUUUGAAAACUCAAUUUCUACACUUUUCCAUGUCAUUUCUAUGGAAUACUCAUAACUGUAAUUUGUUGCCCUCAUGUAAAUCAUGUUUUGAUCCGAGACCAUCAUUGCUUCAAGCGUGAUGAAAUACCCAGCUGGCAAUGGCCCACUAAAAUUAUUGCCAGAAAUGUCAAAAAUUUGUAAUUUAGAGAAGGAAUUAUAUGCAGUCGGACCCUUCACAAAACCUUGGAGUUUAUUGGAUUUUAGGACAAGAAUUUGAAGCUUUGGAAGCGUUUGUAGAAAGGAGGGAAAUGUAUCCUCAAUCUUAUUGUUACCAAGAUCAAGAACUUUCAACAUUGUGCAAUUGAUGAUAGACGGUGGUAUUUUCCCUUCUAAUUCGUUUCCAUUGAGGUUGAGAUAUUCCAAGCUAUUAUCUUUUGAAAAUGUUGAAGGGAUAGUGCCUUGAAGAUUGUUCAUGCCUAGAUGCAAUACCGAGAGCAUGUCGGUGAAGUUCCCCAAACAUAAUGGUGUAGAACCACUCAAGCUAUUGUUGGACAAGUCUAGGACCACAAGGGAUCUCAGCUUGCAAAUAGAAGAAGAAAUCUCACCUGUCAAUUUACUAUUGGAUGCAAGAAUAAGGAGUUCCAAGCUCUCUAGUUUGAAAAUUGAACUUGGAAUUGUACCAUGCAAGUGGUUAUUGCUCAAAUCAAGGUAAUUUAAUGAAAAUUCAUUUUGGAAUUCACUUAUAUUGCCUAUGAGAUUAUUGCUAUGAAGGUCAAGUAAUGUUAAAGAAGGAAGAGCAAACAAAAAGGAUGGUAUUGUUCCAUUGAACAAGUUACCAUAUAAACUUAGACUCUCUAGAUUUGAAAGGGUAUUUAAUUGAGAAUGGAUAGGGCCUACUAGUUGAUUAUUUGAUAAAUCUAAAUCUAAAAGAUUAACUAGGCUACCUAAAGAAUCUGGAACUUGACCCAUAAAUUUAUUGGAAAAGAGAUACAAGUAACGGAGAUGUACAAGGUUUCCAAGUAAUGGGAUCUCACCACUAAAAUUGUUACUUGAGAGGUCUAAAGAGGUGAUCUGUGUGAGAUUACCAAGCAAGGAUAGAUCUGACCUUAUAAUAUUACUGUUACUAAGAGACAUAACUUCUAAUGACUUUAGAUUACUAAUUAAGUCGUUUUCUAAAUAAACAGAAAUUCUUGUAUUAGAAAGACCUAACCGAGAGAGGACAUUACUCAAAUUGGACGAAGGAAAAGAGCCAGUGAGGCCUUUGUUGGAUGACAGAUCCAGUGAUUCAAGGUGUGGGAGGAGAAAGAUGUAACCCGGGAAUUUCCCCUGAAAUCCACAGUUUUUGAGGGAGAGAGAUGAAAAAGAAGAGGACAGAUUCGUCAAGGAAUUGGGUGCAACGAAAGACAUAUUUACAGAACUCAAAUCGAGUUUUCUUAGCUUGGUUAGGUUUUGAACAAGCUUGUCAAAUGAAAUUGGUUCUAGAAUCAAAUGGUUGUUCCAAAAGAGAUCAAGUGAAACCAACUCAGUGAGUUGAUGAAAAUCAUAUGGAAUUGGACCAGUAAGAUUGUUCCCUCCAAGAUCCAAGUACUGCAGGUGCUUAAAUUUCCCCAUUGAGGAUGGGAGUUUUCCUUGCAAUCCACACCAAAAGAGUUUGAGCGAUGAUAGAGAAGAGGACAGAUUCAUCAAGGAACUGGGUGCAACCAGUGACAUGUCUACCGAACUCAGAUCGAGUUCUCUAAGCUUGGUUAGGUUUCGAACAAGCUUGUCAAAAGAAAGCUUGUCAAAAGAAAUUGGUUCUAGACUUGGGUAGUAGUUCCAAGAGAGAUCAAGUGAAACCAUUUUGGAGAGGUGAGAGAUUUCUGACGGAACUUGGCCUGCAAGAUCUAAACCACUUAGGUUAAGAUGUGUUAGAUUGGAGAACUGGCCAAAUCGAGAAGAAAUAUAAGAGGUGUUGAAAUCAUUGAAAGAGAGGUCGAGCUUUUGAAGAUGAUGGAGAGAGAAGAGAGAAUUAUUGGGAAGGAGGGUGCCGUAAAGCAUGCUGCAAGAGAGGUCCAGUGCAGUGACUUGCCCGGUUUUCAGGUCACAAGAGACCCCAACCCACAAGCAGCAGUCUGUACCCUCUUUCCAUGACUCUGUUUUUGGAAAGGGAUGUGGACAAUAGUACAAUAAAGCUGAACUAUUUUGAAUGGAGAAGGAUUGUUUGAAUUGAAGGAGAGAAAGAGAUUGGUGAUGAGCACACAAAAGAGAAGAAGAAGAAGAGUAAUUUGAGGAGAGUGGAGAUGAAAUUGUUGAGUGGAAAUGGAAGAGAAACAGAAUGAAGGAGAGAGAUUGAGAGAGGGACAGUGGUGAAAACCCCAUGGUGGCUGGCCUUACAGGAUUCAAAGUAUAAUUAACUGGGAAUUUAAGAUGAGAAGUAAAGAAAGGCAUUAUUAGUAGUAUUUAUAGACGAAAUCAAAGUCACUGGUUGAAGCAUUAAACAAGUUUCCUUAGCUGAAAGAGAAUCGGAGCAAAGAAAGACUAAUUUGUUCAUGAGCACAUAAUUGUUGGUAUUAAAAUACCUUUUUCAGGAUUUAAUAAUUAAAAAAAUAAAGUAAGAAUAAAAAUCGAUGGAAAUAUGCAAUAUGCAAGGUUCCUAUCAACUUGAUUCCCUGUUGACUUCAAACUGAAUUGUUGUUUCUUGGCACCAAUGACUUCGCACUAAUAUAAAAAAUAAUGUAAACUAUGGAAUUAAAAUGAUAAUCAAAGUCCCUUAAUUCACUAAUACAAGUGUUCAUAAAUUGAGGUGCUGGACAUUCAUGUUAAUUAAAAAAAAUAAAAUUGUUAAUUAUGAAAUAUUUAUAAAAUAAAAUAAAAAAAAGAUUUAUGCGAAGAUUGCUAUGCUCACUAAAAUAUAAUUUCCAAGAAAUUCAAGCCAAAAAAUCGGAAGAAAACUUAAUAAUUUACAAUUUAGUCUACAUUUCUAGUUGCACAUCAGCUUUAAAGGCUAUUAUAAGAAACUACGUAGGUUAGUCAAAUAAAUAAAUAAAAUAAAAAUGGCUAAAAUAUUGAUUUAUUAAUGAGAAUGCCAAACAGAUAUUUUAUUAAUGAGAAUAAGAAUAGGAACAUGACAAUAUUGAUUUUCUAAAGGGAUUAAAUAUCUUUUCAGGGGUUGUUAAUUUUAUUAAAAUUAAUUAAUCCUUUUACUAUUAAAAAUCUUGUGGGGGGAUAGAAAGUUGUUGGAAGAAAACGGAUAAUUAUUUUCAGCUGAAAUCAGUCCUCAUGCAUGUAUAUGGUGAAUUUUGCCUAGAAUUGUUUUGCAUGCGAUUGUUCAUUCUUAAAUGCAAAACUAAGAGUCUUUCGCUGAAGUUUCCUAAAUAUGCUUAUUUUACAAGUUUCCUACAUGUAUAUUGUGUAGAACCGCUCAAACUAUUAUUUUACAAGUUUCCUAAAUAUUUAGUGAACAGAGCAGCGGACAGGAAAACAGAGCACAAAAAUGUUAAUUUUGGAAAUUAAUUAAUAUUGCCGUGUUUCCAACACUCAGUGCUCCUGUUUAAUCACCAAUCCUUGCAAGGAAAUAUUCGCAAUUGAAUAAGACUUUUCUGGACCAUUACCUAUUGCUUUCUGACCUUGAUAUAAAAUUGAAUAAGACUUGAAGGAAAACAGAGCACAACGAUGAACCAAGGAAUGGAGUUUGAAGGUUCUUGCCCUCAAGAUGCUGUGGGAUUGGUCGUCCUCAAAGGUCUUUCUCUUUCAGCAUCAACAAGGGAGAACCGAUCUUCAUUUGUUCUGUCCUUAACCCCCAAGUCUUCGGAACUUGGAUGCAUAGAUAUUGUCCACUCAUUCUUAAAUGCAAUACUAAGAGUCUUUCGCUGAAGUUUCCUAAAUAUGCAAUAUUUAGUGAAUGUUUAUGAAUAACAUUAUACUGAACCAGUACAGGAAAACAGAGCACAACGAUGAACCAAGGAAUGUUUAUGAAUAAUAUUUAGUCGUCCUCAAAGGUUGCUAUGCUCACUAAAAUAUAAUUUCCAAGAAAUUCAAGCCACAAAAUCGGAAGAAAACUUGUUAAUAAUUUACGAUCGUAGUUUACUCACAGCUUAAGCAAGUGGGCAUGCAGAGUUAAAGAGUCAUCCUCACCUUCUUAUGUCCGCUUCAAUCCAAUCUCCAGUCUCCAGUCUACACGUUCUGGCAAUAGCUUUAUUGAACAGAAUCUAGAAAACUGACAAACAAUGGAAAAUUAAUGGAGUUUGAAGGGAGAACCAAUCUUCAUUUGGUCUGUCCUUGAUCUCCAAGUCUUCGGAACUUGGAUGUAUAGAUAUUGUUCACUCUUCAUGUGGUGCUGAAUAUAUAUGGAAUUGAAGGUUCCCUUGCAAAUAUUUCCAUACAAGAGUGAGCGUUGGAUACACGGCAGUACUAAUUUCCAAAAUUGACAUUUUGGCAGCAAGUCCUUUUAGAACUUUCUUUGCAGCUCGUCUGAUGGCAGCUGUUCUUGGGGACAUCGAUCUACCCCUUCGCAUGCACUGAUAGAUUAUUAUUGCUAUUAUUAACAAGAACAGGUGACUGUGUACUUGAAGGGUUAAGCAAUUUAUGUGUUUCCCAGAAGAAGAAGAAGCAUUCAUAGCUUAGAAAAUAGCAAUGAAUAUAUAUGUGCUAAUAGAUACAGUUUGUGCUCUUCCUUUGCAGCUCGUCAUAUGGAUCAUACUUUUUGUGUGCCAACAAAAGACAACAAAGCAACCCUUGGUACAGAUUUUUGCUGGAUAAAUCCACCUUCGUUUUGUUUUUUGUGUUAAUACGAAGAAAAAUCUGAAGGAGUGCAGUGCAUAGCUGUUGUAGUGUACUAACCGAUCUUGCAGUAAAAUUGGGACUCUCGUGAAGUGUCAAUUUUAUAUUAAGGUCAGAAAGCAAUAGGUAAUGGUCCAGAAAAGUCUUCGGACCUUAGAUAUAUAGAUUGAAUUAUUCAAUUGCGAAUAUUUCCUCGCAAGGAUUGGUGACUAAACAGGAGCACUGAGUGUUGGAAACACGGCAAUAUUAAUUAAUUUCCAAAAUUAAUAUUUUUGUUGAGAUCAAGUUUAUAUGAGCAGCAAGUUUAUGUGCUAAUUAGAACUUUCUUUGUACUUAGACUAGCGAUAACUGUGUUCUUGACAUCAAUGUAUUAAAACAAUGUAAAAAUAUGUUAGCAAUACAAGAAUGUUGAUUUUUUUGUAAAAAAUAAAUCUUAAAAAAUAAAUAAAUAACAUAAAAAUAUUAUUUUAAUAUAUUUUCAAAUAAAAAAACACUUUAAAAAGUAAUUUCCACCGUACUAACAUACUUUAAGAAUAAAAACACAACAAUAUUGAUUUUCUAAAAGGAUUAAAUAGUGUUUUAGGGGUUGCUAUUUUUUCUUUAAUUAACUACUACUUUUAGUAUUAAAAGUAAUUAAAUAGUUAUUUGACCAAUUUUAAUCAUGCUUAUUUCAGUAAUAUUUUUUUAAAAUACUUUUCUUUCUUAUCAAUCUUUCAAUUUAUAUGCUUUGAUUUUUUUCUUUUUUCUUUUUCCUUUUUCUAUUUUAAAUAAAAAAAAUAAUUUAACUAUUAGAUUAUGUAAACAAAUAAUUUAAAAAUAUAUAUGCAAUAAAUGAUGAAAAUUAUAAACCCUUUACUUUGAUAGUUCAAGGAAUAUUUAUAACCUUUGAACUUUGUUAUUUUGUUGAAGUGGAGAGCCUGAAAAGUUAUUUCUUUUUUAUAGUAAUAAUAAAAAAUAAAUAUUUCUUACACAAUAUUAAACGAGAAAUAAAUAUUUAUUGCAUAAUAUUAAUAAAAAAUAAAUAUCCAUUAUAAAAUAUUAAUGGUGACACUUAUCUAUUAUUUUACAAGUUAGACUUGAAGGAAUUUCAGAGCAGCGUACCGGAAAUUAAAGAAAAUAUUUAGUGAAAGUUUAGGAAUAACAUUACUGAACCAUUACCGGAAAACAGAGCCCUCAAGAUUGGAGUUUCAAGGUUCUUGCGUACUAAAAGAUUUUUGUUUUCCACCAUCAACAAGGGAAAACCAAUCUUCAUCUGCUCUGUCCUUUUCCUCCUUGACGUCCAAGUCUUCGCAACCAUACAAUUAUUCAAUAUGGAACUGCAGGUUGAAUUAUUCAAUUGCAAAUAUUUCCAUACAAUUAGGUCCCUUUGUUGACUAUGCAAGAAUGUUGGAAACACGGCAAUUUUAAUUUCCAAAAUUGACAUCUUUCCAGCAAGUCUACGUGCGUGCACUUUGUGCUCUAAUUAUAACUCCCUUUUGUGUCUCGUCUGAUGACAACUGUUCUUGGAGACUUCUACCCCUCUAUGCCUGGUUUUUCUUGGUAUCAUUGCAUCUUUGAAGUUUGGUUUUCCUUACAAUUUACUUUAUCUUUCAUUAGAUUUCUCUACAUUGUAAGAAAUAUUUUUUAAGUGGAUCAUAUGCCAUGUCAUGUUUUCAAAAUAAUAUUAAUUGUGUAUAUAUUAUAAAAUUUAUAAAUGAUAAUUAAAUGCUUGGAGUCCAUUGCUCUCUAAUGAUGAACCAAUUAAGUACAAUACAUAAUGGAUGAAAGUGAAAAAAAUCAGAUUAAUGAAAGGAUCCCUAUGCAAGCCAUAUUAAAUAUUACGUAAUGUCAUGUAACCUCCAUCAAAAUAUAGAAAAUUUAAAGUUUGGUAUUGACGGUUCAAUCAUAGUAUGGGCUAAAUCCACUCAUUUGACAUGUGUUGAGCAUAAUACAAAUAAUAAAAAAUAAUUAAGUCAUAAAUACAAUUAAAAUUAUAGAGAUUAAAUGUAUGGUUUGCAAAACUACGUACUAGGAUUAAGUUAUAAUUAACUCAAAUAAAAAAGAAAUUUAUGCAAAGGCUCGGGUUCCCUAGGUUUCAAGGACGAAGAAGUGCUUUUUAGGACCCGUUGAUAGAAAACUGUAUAAAAGUGAUUACAAUUACAGAGAGAAAAAAAAGAGUAAGAUUUUAGAAGAAUUAGUGAAUUAAAAGAGAAGGAGGAGGAGUGAGAAAUGGUGGAUUGGUAAUUUAGAAGAAUUAAAUGCCAAUAACAGUUUAAUCCUCGGAACUAGGAGACGAUAAUGCAUUAAUCGAGAUUAAGUUGUCUUUUUCCAUCAAAUAGCUAGUCCGCUUGGCAAGAACACAAGUAUUAAAAAGAUUAGCAAAACUUGUUCAAAAUAUAAACAACACACGAGCACAAGUUUGAACUAUGGUAUUCUCUUGUCGGGUAAAGGGAGUGGUUACAAUUCCAGCCUUUGAGAGGAGCUUAGUCCAUGUUCUGAGGAACAUAAAUGCAAGAAGACCAGUGGUGAGAUUCAGCUUCAUGACUAUAACACUGUAUAUGAUCCCAAUUGCUAUGCUAGCAACAAUUCCCCUAACUGUAAUCUGUUUAGUCCAUGGAGCAAUCCUCUUGAUAUCCAUGUUCAUAUUCAUCACAAUCUUCUCACCAAUACAAUCAACAAACCAAACUCAUCAUCUUGAAUCCAAUAGAAUGAUUUAUAGAAGCUAAACCACACAUCAAGAAAAUCUGAUAAAACUACAAAAAAUAAAAGAUUGAAUAAAAACAAAACGUCAUGAAUUAUAUUACCUUAUAAGCCUCCUCCUUUUUCUUGCUCCUCUUCUUCUUUCGACCACAGCUUCAAAAAGCACCCGAAGAAUCCAACUUCCUCAGUCAACUACUAACAAGUCUCCAUCAAUCAAUACAAGUAGAUGCAAGAGCAUAUAGCUUCCUUCAGAAAGACAACAAAACAUUCAAAUCAACACAUGGGCAAGGGCCAGCCUCUAAGUUGACUUAAGGAAACUCUCCAAGAAAAACAGACGACAGCAGACGAACUUGAUUCGAGGCCUUCAAGAAAAGCCCAAAAACCAUAAAUAUUGCUUCUUCCAAAGCAAUAAUCAAGAGCAUUAAAUGUCAGGCCAAGAGAACAAAAACCCAAGCUUCUUAUAUGGCAAAAAAACACAGCAAUUGUUUUUCUUAUUUAUACUAAAUUCAAGCACCACCAGCCCACCCACCAGCAUUUUCUAUGUACUGCAAAGCAGUACAAGGCAAGGCUGCGUUGUAGUACAACACUCAUCAGAACUCCAACGAUGGCUGCUAUCAAGGACGGAACCAGGAAUUUUUCAUAUCCUGGGCUAUUAAAUAAAUAUAUAAUUUUUUAAAAAAUAAUUAUUAAUUCAUGUAUAUAAAUUUUUGAAGUUAACAUUACAGUUUUAAUUCAAAUACAUUACAUAAAAUAUUAAAAAAAAAUACAUAAAAUUAAAGUAAAAAGUAAAAAGAAACUCAUUAUUGAAGUUACAUCAUUCGAUGUUUUAUGAAAUAUAAUUAAUUUAUAAUCAAAUCUGAAUCGAUAUUAUAACAACCCUUCAACCAAGAUAAAAUAAUAAUCUCAUGUCAAUUGGAAAAUAAAAUAAUUAAUUUUUUUCCCUCUCUCAAUUCAUCCUUCCUUCACUUGAUUCUUCUUUAGAUUAGAGUUUUAUAAGUUAUAAUGUGUAAAUUUAUAAGGUUAUUCUCUUACUUUUUCUAUUUUUUUUCCUUGGAUUUUUUUUUAUGUUUUCCCUUUCUUCUCUCUCUUUCUCUCUUGCCUUUUCUUUUCUUUUCUUUUCUGCUUCUUUUCAGUCAGCAACAUAUAUAAAAAAGGAAGAGCUUAUUUGUUUUAUUUUUUAAUGGAAAAUAAUUAUUUUACCCUUAAUGAGUUGUUUUGCUUUUAUUUAACAGUUUUUUUUUGUUAGCAUUACCAAGCUCCGUUCAUUCUAAAAUUUUAACAAGAUUUUAUUCAAUAUAUUUUAAGAUCCCUUGUAAAAUUUCAGCUCAAUUUACUAGUCGGAUUGAAAAUUACGUUCAAUAACGUAAAACUAGUCAAAUUGUGAUUUUUCAUUAAAUUUCUAAAUUUCUUCAAAAAUUCUGAAAUUUUAAUCCAAGUUAAAGUAUUAUAUUACAAGGCUCUACGCAAAUUUGUAAAAAAAUUUAAUAACUUAAUUAAAAAUUAAAAAUUUAUUUUAUAUAAAACUAGUCAAAAAAAUAGUGAUAAAAUUUUACCCUGGGCUAGAGCCCACCCUAGCCCUCAGCACAGCUCCGCCCCUGGCUGCUAUACAUUUGAACAGAUGUCAGGUUCUUAAUUUUGAUCCUCGUCUCGUUGACUUAUCACCACCACUUUUCACCCUCUCUUCAUCCUUGUAGUACAGAUAUAGAGAGAAGAAAAGUGGGCAGUCGUAAGCAUAAAAUUGCUUAAAGUGAAAAGCAAGAAAUGGAACUGCUAACUGGAUUGAACUGGCUGCUUCACUUGAAAGUGCCUUCCCUUUACGGUCAUAACAUGUGUAUGGCAAGUUAAGAGUGCAUUUUGGUCCCUCUACUCUUAUUUCCCUUAAUUUAUCACCUUCUGUCUUGAUAUCACUCUCUUUAUUAUAUUCUUUAUUUUAGUCAACUGUAGCCUAGUAGUUAGACACCUCAAUCCCAACCUAACUUGUUUGGAUUAGAACCCAAAGACUGCUUCGUUAAAGAUUGAUAUUUAUUUAAUCAACUAUUGUACUAUACUAGGCAAUGACGUCGUUUAAUACUAAACAUUUUCAAUAGGAUGUUCUCUUAUCCCACGCAUAAGAACAAAAAAAAUGUUACGAGGGAUGAAUUGUUAAGGGGUUAUAUUGAAGCAUAAAAUAGUAUAAGGAUCGAAUUAAGAUAGAAUGUAUAGUGGAAGGAUAAAAAAGACAACACUAGCAAGGCGUGUGACCAAAACAUGUCAAAGUCAGUCAAGAAGAGGAGAAAGGCCAGUUUUGAGGCCAAUAAUAUAGAAAUCUUAAAAAAACGAUUGAUGUAAGAGAGAGAUAUCAUAGGGAUGGUGGGGUGGGCCCCAGAAAUGGUGGGAAUGGUAUUCAUCGAAUGCUGAUUCUAUCAACCUUUAGAUGCGAUCACUAUUUCUGACCAUUAAUUUCUGGUUUAUAAAAUGAUGUGAUAAGAAUAGUCAUUUAAAAAAAAAAUUGUGUUUUGAAUUUGAAAAAAAUUAAGUUUUUUAUGUUUUAAUAUAAAAAUAAAUUUUAAAAAAUAAAAAAUAUAUUAUUUUAAUAUAUUUUUAAAUAAAAAAUAUUUUUAAAAUAACUCUUAAAAUAAUAAUAGACUUAGGUUGUUAAAUAUGAUUCUUUUCAUGCUACUUGAAAUUUAUACAGGUUUAUUAUUAUAAAAUAUAAAAAAAUAUUAUUGUUAUAUAUUUUUUAAAAUAAUUAUUAUUACAAUAUCAAAUAUCAAACAUGUAUUGAUAUUAAUCUUGCUAAAUUUAAAAUAAUAUUGAUUCAAGAUUGUUUUUAUAGAUAAAAGUUAAAAGGUUAUCAACUUAACCGGACUGAGUUUAAUAUCUAUAAGAAAUUAUUUUUAGUAAAUUAGAGUAGGUCAUAAAAAUUUAGUCUAUUGGUAGAAACUACACAAGAAUUUAUAAUAUGAUUGAUUUACUUCAUGUAAUUUAAAUUAAAGAAAAAAAAGCACACAUUUCCUCUGCCUCAAAAUAAAUGAAAAUAAAAUAAAAAAGAAUUAUUGAAUUUUCAAGUGAUUUUAUUGUUCCUUUUUUCAAACUUGGAAUGUAAUAAUUCCUCAUCUAAUUUUUUAAUCGGGUGCAAUAAUUUAUUAUUUAUCUCUUAGUUUACAAAAUAAAAUAAAACAUUUAUUUUAAAGCGUAGAUUUACUAAUUAAUUCAAUUGUUUUCUACUGUGAUCACUUUGAUUCUGGGAUUGAGAGUGAUAAAAUUAUCAUCGAAUUAAUUUUGAAAAUUAUCAUCGAAUUAAUCUAAAAAGGGAAUUACUUAGCGUGAGUAUAUUUUCUUAUCAAGAUUGAUAGUUACGUGCAUAAGGGGAACCCUCCCUUUCGUCGUAGCACAAUCGUCCUUUCGCACCAAAAAGUCAUCAAAAAAUUAUUCCAAAACAAACACCACAGACACCCACCCUCCCACCCUCCAAGAAGCAAACAAUUUUGCUGAGAGGAAUAGGCAAUAAAUAUCUCCGUUUAAAUCACCUUAAUUCAGUGGAAAAUUAUGUGCACAUUAUUUGUACAUUAUGCUAUGUGCAUGCAUCAGAGUGUGGUUUAAUUUGAUUGACUACUUGACAUAAAUAAAAUGAAAGGAGUUCUUUGGCAUUUUUUAGAGAAAAAAAAAUUACCUUGUUAUGGGCUAGAAAUGUUUAUGAUAUUUAUUUUUCUCUAACAUAAGUUUUGUGGAUACGAAGUAGAGAACAUGUUGAAGUUACAUCUAGUUAGCAAAAUCCAACUCCUGGUUGUUAAAACUCGGUAAAAAAUUUAGAUCAUGGGUUAAGUUUUAUUAAUUAAAAUAAUGUUAUUUUAAUUUUUUAAAAAUUAACUUAAUUUUUGACUAAAUCAACUAAAUCAUGAAUUAAUUCAUAAAAUCAUUUAAAUUAAAUUGGUUCAAUUUUCACUUGAUUUUUUUAAAAAACCAACAUGAACUAAUCGAGUCUAAUAACUUGUUACUAAUAAAUUAUGCCAUUUUACAUUUACUUAAUUUUUGGGAGUAGGAACUCAAUUUUGAAAGGGACGGUGAGUUUCAAUUUUGCACUUUACGAAUAGAUAUCUAUGUUGACAAAUCAUUUGCCACUUGAGGUUGAAGAUCAUGUCGUUUAAAAUGAAAUUAACGCAUUAUAAGCUAAUUAUGUGGAUUCGAACUCAUAAUAAUUAGUUUCAUGUUAAGAGUAUGAUUUCAUGUUUUACUUAAGAAACAUUGAUUAGCACUUAGCAGCUUAUUUAAAAAAAAAAAUAUUAUAAGCUUUUUUAAAAAACAAAGAAUGGUUGAAUGGAGUUGGAGUUGUGGAGGUAAUGGAGAACCCUAAUUCUUCAAUUACAUGUAAGAAGUUUAACUUGAUAUGAAUUGAUAUAUAUGCCACUUGAAGCUGUAGGCCUUUGCAUUUAAAAUUAGGUUAAUGCAUAUGGUGAGUAAGCUAUAUAUUAAUUUAUUGUGGUUUCCAACUUCAAAAUUCGAGAAUCAAUUAUGUUGUGGAUUAGUGAUAAAAUUUAAAAGAAGGAGCAUUCUUGUUUUAAUUUCUUUCAUGUUAAAAGUAUUAAUUACAUGUCCUGGUCUAAAAAACAAAUCAUGAUUAAUUUGCUAUAGCAUACUUGUUUUAACAAACAAAAAAAUAGAGUUAACCAUGCAUUGCAUGCGUGAAAAAAAAUAUAACUAUAGGUUCAAACCUAUGUAUCUCGUAUCAAUAUGUUAAAAUCAAAGAGGAUGGAAACUAAAAAGACAUUAUCGCAAACAAAAAAAUUUCCAUUAAAAUAAUUAUGAUUAAAAUUGAAAGAUUAAAAUAAUUAAAGGGGUGAAAUUAAAAAUCAUUUAUAGAUUUAAAAAUGAUAUGGGUAAAAUAUAAAAAAUAUUAUUGACAGCUAACUAAAUAGAAUCAAAUUGAAAAAAAAAGAAGUUAAAAAUAGAGAAUUAAACCAAAAAAUAUUUAAAAAAGGUUAAAAAAUGAUAAAAAAAAAUAAGACAACAUCAAUUUAGAAAAAAAAAACAAGGCGAUUCUCUUAAAUCUAAUCUAAUAUCUAAAAGUCGCAUCGCAUUACAUUUUUUUAUCUCUAUUCAAUUAAGAAUCAUAAUUUUUAACUAAUUUAAUUACAAAGAAUGAGAUCAGUAGAAAAGUAUUAAUAAAAAACUUGCAAAUAAACUUGCUAUUAAACUUGCAAAUAAGCUUGCAAUUAAACGUUGAAUCAGGGUCCUAUAAAAAGAUUUAUUAUAAGUCAAUUUAAAAAACUUGUCAAAGCAAUAUAUAUAUAUAUAUAUAUAAAUAUAUAAACCCAGUUGACAGCCAGCUCGAGUCAAUAAAUCAAACACAUGGUUUAGGACAUGAAAUUAGGAUGACCAUAUAAAUAGGAAAGCUUAAAAAACACUUUCAAAAAUAUAUAUUAAAAAAACACUUUAAAAAAAAUAAAAUUCGAAUCAAGCUAAUCUUUCAGAUCUAUUACUUGGGUCAUAAGACUAAGGUGACCCCAUCAAAGAUAAAUUUUUUUAAAAAAAACAAAGAAGCAAGAUUCUUAGUUAAACAAACUUUGAAGGAUAAAAAAAAAAUCAAUCAAAAAAACAUUGCAGAAAAAAAAAGCAAUUAAAAGAAUUAUGACUAAAUUUGACAUAAAAAUGAAAUGAAAUAAAAUGUUUUGGUAAAAAUCAAAUCAAAUCAAAUGUUUUGGGAUGCAAUUGUAAAAAACAAAUCCAUUAAGAAAAUAAUUUUAAAAAUAGCAACAAAAAUAAUUAAACCAAAUUUAACAUAAAAAUAAAAUGAAAAUAAAUGUAUAGGGGUGAAAUUGUAAAAAAGUUGUCGCACCCGACAUCGCGGUGGCCUUAAAAAUUAAUUUUAUAUCUUUGAAAAGAACGGAUUUCUAGCAUCAUGUUCUUUAAUGUGGAUAUUCUUGUUUAAGGAGUCGCCACCUAGUAUUAUGGUCAAUAGGAACCCUAACUGGUCAACAGAGAUUCUAUAGUUCGGGACUGGCUUGGGCCAGUGACCCGGCUGGGCCACAGCACGCGUGAACUUGUUCACGCGUGCGUAGCGCUGUGCGAAGGCAAUUAAAUUGCCUUCGCGCAGUGUUAUUGAAGAUUAAACGAAGGCAAAAAAUGAAGAAACGAGCGUACCUGCUUCUGGAGAUCGAAGAUGCUUGCAGCGCUGAUGGAUUCUCGCCCGCUGGUUCCCUUUAUCUUCCUUCUGCGCUCACCUGCCUGCUUGUUCCUUUUGUUUGUUCAGCGGCUUUUGAAACCGAGAAGAUGAUGAAGAGGCCGGCCUGCUGGGAAUUUGCUUUGAUUCUGGGUUUUCGUUGUUUGCAGGGACGAAGGCAGUGACAGAGCCAAUACUCGUCUCUUUGUAUUGCUUCUCUCUUGUUCUCCCCUUCUGCUAACCUCUUUGUUUCUUGGAAUUUCCUCUGUUUUCGUUCUUUUCUCUGUCCCCUGCGUUCGAGAAGAUGGAGAUCAACGUUGGCCCUCUGGUUUUUUUAUGGCGUUUGUCUCUGUUUUUUGCUCUGUUUCUGGGUUCUGUUUUUGGCUUGAUUCUUCUUGCUCUCGUCUGGGUUUUUGUAUCAGUUUUUGUGCUGUGUAUUUUCUUUCUCUCGGUUUUGCUGGGUUUCUCCUCCUGGGUAUUUUUUUUGCUCUGCCUUUUAUAAGGCCAGAGACCUUCAAAAAACCAUCACCUCUACCUACGGGAUUGUGGCAAUCGUGGCAGGAGACAUGGUCACGAUUUGGAUCGGAUGCACUGGGAUUUUCCUGUUGAAUCGGCUGCCUUGGCGAAAUGGAAGGGAUGACGAACAGUAUUAUUGCAAACGGCACCGUUUAACAAUUUUCAAUUUGACCCCUGAACUUUGGAAAUUUCGCAAUUGGACCCCUGAAUAAAAAUUUCUUUUAAUUUUGCCCUUUUUGGAUAAAUUUCAAUUAAAUCCCUAAAUUGGUGCAUUAUUACAAAACAGUCCUUAAUUCCUGGAUUAUUCAAUUUGGUCCUUAAUUAAUUCUUUCAAUUUUGCCUUUUUUGGAUAUAUUUCAAUUAAGUCCUUGAAUUUAUUUAAUUAAUUAAAUCAAAGUUUAAUUAUGUAACGCCCGGCGAUUUUUGUAAGCAUUUAAAAUUAAUUUCCUACAAUUUGGUAUGUAAAAAUAAGUUUUUUUUUUUUUUUUUUUUUUUUAUUUUACACUGUAACGGAAUUUCUACCGAAAUUUUGGCAGAGCCUCCCCUAUACCGGGAGGUCCCAAGUUAUCAACAACUCAUCCUAUACAUAUCUCAUGUUCAUUCCAUCAUCAACGCAUAUCCAUAUCGCAUUGCGACCACAAUUAUUAUUAAUCAUAAUAUUUUGCAAAUCUAGGGAUUCAUUUCGAACAUAUAAUUUACAACACAAAAUAAUAGUAAUUAACUUGAUUAAAAACAUUAAUAUUACAAGAACAUCCACACUUUUAACCUCUGUUCCAGCCCUGUUUUCCUUAAAUAUUUGUUCAAGAUCAUGAAUCAUUGAUAUAUAUCUUCAAUUUUCUCCUCCCCCCUUCAAGUCCCCUUAUGGCCGGCCCUAAUCUAGGGUUUUCUCCUUAGUUUACAUGAAGUUUUUCUUACUAUACAUUCUUUGAAAUUUGUUCUUUCCUUUAUAAAAUUUAUUGUUCACAAUAUUAGUUUUCAAAACAUUAAUAUGCACAAAAAUCCUAAGUUUUCAUUUGGGUUGUUCACCCUUUUCAACAAAGCUCACUCAAGACAACAAUGGAGAUUGAAGGGUUUUUCUUACCAUAUGAAUUAAGCAAGGAUUAAGGAUGAUUUUUUUUUUGACAACUCUAUACGUGUUCUUCUUGUUCUCUUCCUUGGUUGAUUCUUCUCCCCCUCUUUCUGCCUUUAGCCGUGAAUCUCUCUCUCUCUCUUUCUACAUCUCUAUUUUGUGGUCUUUCUCCUCACUUUCACUCUUCAUUCACUCUAGCACCGUAUGGAUGAAAUGCAAGAGAACACUUUGCUGGAUAUUUUGUAAGAGAGGGGGCUGCUAGGGGCUGUCUUGGCCGGCAAUAAUGGGAGAGGUAAAGUGACAAUCUUUUCUCCCAACUACUUGUACUCCCUCAUAAAUGAAAUUAGACCUUGUUUGGUUUGGUUGUUUUUUUUUUUCCAAGGCCGGUUAUUACAUUUAUUUUAGGUUGAUAACCGGGUCAAAUCUUCCCUUACAUGCUCUUCUCCAAAACUCACUCAUUUCACUUUUAUUAUUAUUUUACUCUUUCUUAUAUAUAUUAUUCACACUUAUUGACUGUUACAAAGUUGUUGUUGGGUGAAACUUUUAAAUGGGUUUCAUGUCAGGUUUUAUAAAAGAAAACUUCAUCUCUUAAAACUCGUCUUUAUUUUUGCUAAUAUUAUAAAUUUUAAUCCAAAAUUUAUAACGUUCAUUAUGACUUCCACCAUACUUUUAAAUUUAUCUAUAGAGCUUAUUCUCUCUCUUACCCGUUGUAUUUAUUAUUAUUUCUAUUAUUUAUUCAUUUCUUUUAAUAUUAAGUCUUCAUUACUCAUUGGGGUCAUUCUUUUUUUUUUUUUUUUUUCUUUUUUUUUUCUGCGAUCCUAUGUUCAUGCGAGGGUUUACAAAUUAAGUCCUCAAACUUAUUAAUUCUUCUAAUUUCAUUAAUUAAACUAAUCCAAAAUUUAAAUAAAUUUCCCAACUUAUUAAUUCUUCAAUUUCUAACCAAAUUAUUCUCAAAUUUGAUAAUUCCAUCGAUGAACUUUGAAUUUGUGUUGUUUUAACCCCAUUCUCAAAUAUAUUUUUAUUUUUAUUAUUUGUUCAAAAAAUUGGGUUAUAACAAAAGUAAAUCAAUCAAGAAAAUGAUUAAAAAAACAAAUAGAAAUUAAAAUAAUAAGGACCGACUUUGACAACAAAAUUAAAAAAAAUCAAAUGACCAGAGAUAAAAUAAAAAAUAAAACCUAAUUAGAAAUAAUCAAUGUAAAUAAAACAAUUACAAAUAAAAGAAGAGGGGCUGAAUCAAAAGAAGGAAUAAAAUGAAGGACUGGAAUGAAUUUUUUUCAUUGCCAUCACGCAAUCCGAGAAAGAAGAAAAGGAAAAGAAAAGAAAAGAAAAGUAAUUUCAAGUCACAUCACGCCGAACCACGAUACACACACCAUCCAAAGAGAAAGAGGAUGUCAAGAUGAAUCAAAUGAUGCUGUAGAAUCACGGUUACAUCCACUCGAGUCAACCACACGCACAACUAGAAGUUGAAAAUAUUGAAAAUGUCCUUUGGACUAAACAAUAUUAACAAAUAAACCAUGAUGAAAUUACAACUAAGCCCUUGAAGCCAAGGUUAAAAAAUAAAAAUUGUAUGGACAAUGUAGUAAUUCAAUUGCUCUAUAAAAAAUAAAAAUACAAAAACACACAUGUGCAGAAAGCAUUGAAUUAUUUUAUUCAAGGGUUAAAUUAGUAAUUUUUAUGUGCAUUAAAAAACACAAUUAUCAAAAUAACCCCGUAUAAUUCUCAAAUAACAUUUAUGUCAUGGUGAAAAUAUUACCUUACCCUCAAAGCAAAGACAAAGGAUAAAAUAACUAAGGGACAAUAUAAUAAUUAUAUUAUUAUAAUGAAUAAUAAUUUAUGUCUCCGGAGUGUUUUGGAUAAUUAUAUACAUAUUAAAGUAUGUAUAUUAUAUCUAUAUAUAAAAAAAUAGAGAUAGUGGGGCCAAAUGAAAUAUGUUUCCAUAUACCUUUUUAUUUUAAAACUACAUAAAUUCAUUAUCAAAUUAGUCUAGAGAUUAAUUUCUUUUUCUCCUGUUUAAUCCCUAUUGAAAGACUAUAAAAAAAUAGUAACCAAAAUUAUAAUUUUUUUUAAAUAAAUGAUAAAUGGGUACAUAUUUGUUUUUUUUCUCUUGAGAUCAAGUUGUUCAAAGAAAAUUGAUUACCAAAACCUCUUGAAAAGUUAAUUGUAAUUUUUAUUAAUUAUAAUAUGAUUUCUAUGGAAUUCUAGAAAAUUUCCAUACCAUAAAUGAUAUACAUUUAAUUGGGUUUGGAAAAUAUAGCCUCGUUGAUUAAAAUUAAAUUUGGCCUUAUAUUAUUUCUUUUUAUAAAAGUAGUAUUAUUAUUAUUGAUAUUACUAUUUCAUCACAGGGCUUUUAAGGAAACUUCAUUAAGCCUAGAAGUAGAAAGAGAGCUCGGCUUUAAUGAGGCUUCUCCCCAAAAAUUCAGCUUGUCCUUUCCCAGCCCAACCCUAACCACCCAACAUAGCUCAAACCCUAAACGCCACCACCAGGUCUACUAGCACAUUAAUUUACAACACAACCUCAACAAACCACCCAAAAAGAACUCCAACCCAAGGAGAUUACUGUACUUUAAAUUCAAAUACAAAAUCAGAGGGGGUUUCGUCAGAGACCAUGUUUUUGCAAGAACCAGUGUUAUAUGUAGCAAGUGCAGCUUUAAGGUGUUUGGUAUUGUUUGCUGAGCUCCGGAAACCUGAUCCGAAUCGUGAAGCAUCAAAGAAAGCCCUUGAACAUAAGAAAGAAAUCACUAAGCAUUUGGGUCGUUCCUUUAUCCAAACAAACCCUUAUGAGGUGCGCGCGCGCGCGCGCAAAGUUUAUAUUUUUGCUGAAAAGAUUGGAUUUUUUGUUUUGCAUAUUUUGUUUUGGGCUUUUUUUUUGGGUUUUAGAGGAUUAUGUGAAUCUUGGUUCUAGGGGUAAUUAAUGGAAUUUAGGUUUGUUUUGGUUUAUUGUUUUCUGGAGGAUUCUGUGAAUUUUGGUUAUAUGGUCAGAUAAUGAAACAAAUAAUUUUGUGAAUUUGGAUUAUAGGGUUAGUUAAUGGCAUAUAGGCUUUGUUUUUAUUAUGUGCUAUAGGUUUUAUUAUACGCUUGAAUUGUCAUUUAUCUGCAAAAGUUUGAGUUUUGUUUGUGAUAGUGGGGUUGAGGUUGAUAUUGCAAUAAGGGAUGUGGGUGGUUUAUUGUAGGGAAUAUGGAUUUUUUUGGGGGGGGGGGGUCUGGGUGUUUUGAUGUAGAUAGGUGCUUUAAUCGUUGUUUUGGAUAUGAGUGAGUGAAUGCUUGUGCCAAAUGGGAUGGGAUUAAGUUUCCAGUUUUGCUGUGAUGAAUGAAGUUGCUUUUUGGUAGUUGAAACUAAGUUCAUUUCAGAUUGAGUUAUUUGUUGAACUUUUGAACUGAUGGGUUGGAGCUUAGGCCUCUAGGUUGAUGAAAAGUUCAAAUUCUUGUGUGACAAUGGAGAUGGGGGCCAUGAGAUUAAGAUUGCGAUGAGGUAUCUUGGUGGUUUAGUGGGUUAUUGUAUGGAUUAGGGGAUUUGGGUGUUUUAGUGAAGAUAGGUAAUUUAAUCAAUUUUUGGGACGGGGAGUGACUCCUUGUGCUGAAUAGGGUGUGUUUAAGUUUCCAGUUCUGCUGGGAUGCAUGAAGUUGUCCUUGUGUUGGUAGAAACUAAGUUCAAUUCUGAUUGAGUUGUAUAUUGAGCUUUUGUACUGGAGCGCUGGAGUUUAGGCCUCUGGGUCGAUGUUAUAGCAUGCUUGAAUUGCCAUUUAUUUGCUAGAAUUUUGAAUUUUAUGUGAUAAUAGGAUGAGGACCAUAAGGGUAAGACUUCAAUAAGGGAUGUGUGUGGUUUGGUGGGUUAUUGUAGGGAACAUUGAUUGGAGAAUUAGGGUGUUUUGGUGAAGAUAGGUGCUUCCAACAGUUUUGGGGAUGUUGGGGAGUGAUUGCUCAUGCUGAAUGGGAUAUGAUUAAAUUUCAAGUUUUGUUGGAUGGAUGGAGUUAUUUUUGGUUGGUGGAAACUGGAGACCAAGUUCGUUUCUGAUACAUUGGAACUUUUGUACUAUUGUGUUGACCUUGGGUUGGUGCUAUAGUACUGUUGUCAUUGUUUAUACAACCAUAAACCGUUAUAAUAUUUCCUGGUGUCUUCAAACGUGCCAUUUGUUUUCUAGGCUGUCUAUACUUUGUUGGCUGCUACCAUGCAACAAACAAAGUUUCUAAAGUCAACUGAAUACAUGAAAAUAUCCAUCAAAUGGAGUACAUUUGAGUGUCUUCUAUAUCAUAAACUAAUGGCACAUGAUUAUUAGUUACAUUUAUAUGAGUCCACCUUUUUUGAAAAUGAUACUAUGUGAACGCCGAUGGCUGCUAUGUUCAGUAAUAGUCUCCUGCGUGACUAACUUGACAGGUUCAUAGUUGGAAGAAAUUAAAUUUGAAGACUUGGCCUUGAACCAAUAUGAUUGCUAUAACUGGGAAACAUAGAUAUUAGUUCUUUCUAUGCCUAAUGAAAUUUGGAUGGAAAACCAAAUUUUCAAUUAUGAAGCCUUCUGAUGGCAAUUGCUUUGUGGAAGAUUUAAACUGCUUCGUAACAAUCAUGCCUAUCCUCUAAACACUAUCCAAUAUGGCCAUGUUCUCAUGUUGAAAAUAUAAUUGAUUGGAAUAGAGGCUCGGUUUAAUGGUUUAUCAAUAUGCUGUAAUUGUAUAUUUUUAUUUUUCAAUUGGACGAUUGGAAUCUAUCAAGCAAGCUUUGUAUGAACUGGUGAUUCUUCCUCUGCGGAAACCUGAGCUCUUCUCACAUGAGAAACUUCUUGGUCCACAAAAGGGGGUAUUGUUAUAUGGACCUCCAGGCACCGGGAAGACCAUUCUUGCAAAAGCUAUUAUCAGAGAGUUUGGAGCUGUUUUUAUAAAUAUGAGGAUCUCAAAUCUAAUGAGCAAGUGGUUUGGCGAUGCAAAAAAGCUCGGUGAGUAUAGAUCGCAUUUGAAUUGCCUCAUGUGCUUGAGCUUUGUCUUGCAUUUAGCAAAACAAUGAUGAUUUAAAAUUAUUGCCUUGUUAUUCUAAAACUUGUUGUCGCCCACCGACUAUAUUGAGUGAAAUUUAGUUUCACUUUGAUAAUGGAAGCAAGGUAGUACUUUGUGAACAUUCUUAACUAAGAUUGAACAUUCCUAACUUGUCCUUUUUGAAGAUCUUUAUUAGCAGCAAGAUUAUUUUGAAUGCUCUAUUAGCUUUAAA
RNAcentral lists this long non-coding RNA (57382 nucleotides) under Populus tremula. RNAcentral describes it as "long non-coding RNA (PTRE_LNC000675)". The record is from RNAcentral. Lineage: Eukaryota; Viridiplantae; Streptophyta; Magnoliopsida; Malpighiales; Salicaceae.